CGCAUACAUCAAAUUGACCUACUCAUGACCACUGGUGUAAUACCCCAGAUUUUCAUAUCAAUUUCCGUAUAUUAUUUCCGAAAUUAAUGAAGGAUUUUGUGUGGGAAAUUCUUAUUAGUAUGUGUGAAGUUGAAGUUUCGGGAGUUAAUUUUAUUAAGGAGUCUUGACUUUUAAGAGGCCAAAAGUUGACUUUGUUAUCUGUAACUUAUUUUCGAAAACUUCCUUUAUGGAAGUUGUAGAGUUUGGCGAUACGAGUUCGUAGACACGCGGCACACGUAAAACGGAUGUCGUAUGAGAAAGUUAUGGUCAGAGGAAGUUAGUUUCCGAUUUUUGGAAGGUGUAUAAAUAGAAAGAGGGAACCCUAAUUUUCAGAAAAGCCCUCUCUUUCUCUCUCCUCUCUCCCGACCCUCCCGCGCGCACUCUCCUUCUCCGGCACAUAACUCCUCCAUCCGACCACCAAAUUGGACGCCACCGGUUCUGUUGGGUUCGCAGAGAUCUCCUCUCCACUCUUGGGGCAGCGCCGCUCAUCAUCGCGCAGCCUAGAUGCCGCCACGAGGCGGAGGAGCUGCUACAAUCUCGCUGGAGUUCUUCUUUUUUCGGCCUCCAAUCGAGACGCCGCCGGUCCCGUUCAACUCACACGGAUGCCCCCUUCAAUUCUAGGCUGGUGUGACACGGCGUAGCAAGCUAGAGACGGAGCUCUUGGCCGGAGAAGAGCACGGUUGUGUCACCGAUCGGAACCGCCGUUUGCGGUGGUGACGAGGGGCAACCCUAGGUGAGUUUUGGUCAUCUCUUCCUUUUGGUUGUGGCUAGGCAUAGUUUGAAGCAAGAUAUUAAGGUUUCGAGCCCUGAAAUUGCAGAUUGAAUUGUGAACCCGUUUUGCUGUUUUGAGGUGUUUUCCCAAACUGGUUGAAACCUCAGAUAUUAAAGUUGUUCAUCUUGCUUCAUUCUACAAGUUUGAUGUUUUCAGUUUGCCCAAAUUCUGAAGUUUUGGGGUGGCACGUGGGCCCACUCGCCGCCUCCUGUGGCAGAGCGUCCGACAGUGUUUCUAGUUUCAUUUUUCUGUGGUUAGCUAGCUCUUGUUGUUGUGAGCUUGUUGAGAGGUGGAAAUUCUAGGUUUUGAGCAAGGAUUGCAUGUUAGGACUUUAAGUUUAAGCUUAGGCUUAUGUGAGGUUUGAGUUUAGGUUUUGAGAAUUAGUGGCAGCUUUAGUGUGUCGUUAAGUUCGACGACUUUGGAAAGUUGUCCUCUCUUGAGCUAAGGGUUAGUUUAAGGGUGUUGUGAUAUCCUAUAGUACUUUGGUUAGUAAGGUGUUAAUUGUGUGAUUUUUAGGUGAUUUGUGAAGUUGUGAUUUGGCUUGCUCUUGUUGUUUUGUGGAAGACGCAGCGGGAGUAUUAGUGAGUAAAUCUCACCAAGGUUCACUUUGGACUAAAUUUUUAUGGUCAUUUUGAUGAUGAUUAUGAUGAUGGUUGUGAUGAUGAUAAUGAUUAUGAUGAUGAUGGUUUUGAUGAUGAUUAUGAUGAGGAUUGUGAUGAUAAUAUAAUGAUGAUAAAAUGAUGAUGAUGAUGAUUAUAAUUUAAAAAUUAUGUUUUUGUUUGUUUUAAAAUAUAUGAGCUUAAUCGCCAACGGCUCAUAGGUAAGUUAAAACAAGUUUUCCUAUUAUAUGAUUAUUUUUAAGGUUCAUGUGAUCAUAAUGUUUUUUGACACGACCCACCCCGAAUUUCACCCUGAAACCCGGAGUAAGUCGUGCGGGGACCACCUCCAAGGAAAAUUUACUGAAAAGAUUAAGAAAAUCUCCCUUGCAGAUGGACAACCCUAACUCGAAAAUUCCAAAUUACACUCUUAAUUCAACACUUCCAAACAUCACAUAAUUAUCCUUCAGAAAUUCUACACAUAAUAUACAAUAAUCCCAAAGUAUUCAGAGCUACUAAACACAAGCGGAAGCAAGAAAACACGAGUAGGUUGAACAUGUAACCUACUGACGAAAACUGGCAGAAAUGCGGGUGACUAUGCCUCGCCUCCUACUAGAUCCAACCCGAACUCUGCAGACUGGGCAAUUUAAAACGAAAGGCCCAGGGGAAAACAUUUAAUAACGUUAGAGUGAGUGGACAAAAAUAAAAUAAUAAAUAAAAUAUUUAUGUUUCCCCAAAUUAAUAUCUAAGGAAAAAUCGAAUGCAUGCCGCAAGCGAUAAAACUUUUAUCUCAUAAAAUAUCGAGCCUCUCAGACUCUAUAAUAUAUGUAUAUAUUUACACUCGUCCAUACUCCCUAUAUAAAUUCAUGGGUCUAUAUAGGGCUACUACGCUCGCGUCCAACGCUCACGUCACGCCUUAAUGCGGUGCUACAUUACGCCAUCAAGGUGGACAGACGGGUGUAUAAAUAUGUGUCCAUACCCCCUAUAUGAAUUAAACACUCAAAUAGGGCUACUACGCUCACGUCCAACGCUCACGUCACACCAUAAUGCGGCUAUAUGCUACGCCAUUAAGGUGGACAGACACAUAUGGCUAGCCAGCAUUUUCUAUACAUACUCUCUCAUAAAUACAUAUUUAUAUUCACCGAAAAUCCCAUUUUCGGUAACUCUCUAAGAGAAAUAAAAGCGUCAAAAUUAAUUGACGUCAAAACUCCAACAAAAGUAAAUGUUCAAUCAUGAACCAUAGCAUGCAUAUUAUUUCAAAUAGAAGUCCACUCACAAAUUAGGCCUAAGCCUGAUGUCGAUCUGGGGCCUCGUCUGCUCGAGCCUCCUCACGUCCUGUUCCAAAUAUAAUAUUAAUUUCCCAACCAAUAAUCCAAUAUUUAAUCAAAAUAGGCAAAAUUACCCGAGAGCCAUAAAUACGCUCAUCAUUGCCUAACUUCGAUAUUCUUAAAUCGGAACGAUCCGAACUUAAAUAUCAUACUCAACAGUCGUAAAUACAACCUCCCCAAAAUACGACUUAAAUCCUACGGCCGGAUUCUACAUUAAUUAACCGCCAAAAAUACCAAACUUCGGAAAUUCACAAACCUAUCCAAAUCUCAUCCAAAAAUUCCAUAAAUCGCAUCAAUAUACUCCUCUUAAUAUUCCACACUUAAAACCCUAAAAAUCUCUUAACCGGCGGCUCCGCCGGCAGCGGCGGCCGGAGGCCAAUUCCGGCGACCUCCAAAACCUAUGAAAUUUUGACAGAAUAAUCCUCUCAUCAUGCUCUACAACUUUCCUAACUAGCACAAACACCAAUUCCAAGCCUAACUAGGGCAAUCGACUAAAAACAUCAAAAACACCAUAAAACUUUCACCUCAAAUUUCUCCUUACCUAGCUCAAGAGAGAGUGAGUCCUUUUAGGGCAAGGCUGCUGGGUUGGAGGGCUACAAAACCGUACCAAGCUUGCCCGGAUUGGUGGCUGGAGGAGGGAGUUCCGACGGCCGAAAGUUCGGGGCAGCCUAGCCUUUCGGGCGGCACCGCUCUCUCACGGCGGCGCUAGGGGGGCUGUCACCGGUCCUGGAAGAUAGCUGGGUCGGAGGGCAACCGAACGGGACCGGAGCGGCGGCAGGUGGUGGCCGGACGGCGGCGUACGGACGGCGAGAAGUUUCCGGCGGGGGAGAGGCUCGGGAGGAAACCGGGAAGAAAAGAGGAAGAAAAAGAAAGAAUAAAAAAACUAGGUUUGGGCCUUACACCCCAAACCGGUCCAUCCUUUUAAACAACCCAAAUCCAAAAAUAAAACACCCCGAAAAAAUAAAACCCGAAUAAAAAUUACCUUUUACUAGCUAAAAUUUACUAUUUUUACCGUCGUCGUAUUUUCCUCAUACGAAUAAUCCUCCGCACAUAAUCGUCCCCGAAACCCCUCUAGGGACCAAUUAAAAUAUUAACUCAAUGAUCGAGACGGUAAAAUUCUUAUUAUAAUCACGCUAGUAAAUAAGGUAAAAAUAUAAGGGUCGGGAUGUGACAUUUUUAGCUAUUGAUAGAUUAUUCUUGUGGGAAUAUCUAUGUUUGUUCAUAUAAAUAUAUCUAUGUGGAAGGAUAUAAUUUUUAUGAUGUGCUCCUUGUGUUGAUUGAUGAUGAUUUUAUUAUAUUGUGAUUUGUUGUUUAAAUAGUCAAACUGGGUUCCAAACCUUUAAUCGGGUGAUUGGUUACGGUUAUAAUGCUAUUAUUAUUUUUUGAUUUGAUAUUAGAUAGUCAAACCGGGUUCCAAGCCUUUAAUCGGGUGAUUGGUUACGAUUAUGAUGAUUCUACUCUAUUGUGAUUUGUUGUUUAAAUAGUCAAACCGGGUUCCAAGCUUUUAAUCAGGUGAUUGGUUACGGUUAUGAUGCUAUUAUUAUUUUGUGAUUUGAUAUUGGACAGUCAAACUGGGUUCCAAGCCUUUAGCCGGGUGAUUGGUUAUGGUUAGGAAUAGAGCUCUAGUCCGUCUGUCGGUGUAGGUCAUGAGAGGUACCUGAAGGUAUCUGGGACCAAUGGGUACAUAAAUUGUUGUUGUAGGUCAUGAGAGGUAUUUAUUAAUAUUUGGGACUCAUGGGUACAUGUAUAUUUGUAAAAGUAUUGGUUAUGUGGUUUUAACAUUGUGCUUAAUCGUUGUUAAUUAAAUUUCUUGUUUUGAGUAUCUCCUAAACUAUGCUUAAUGCAGGAGAUUUUCAAUUUUAUUUGUGUGAUUUUUAGUGGAAUUUCUUAACUAUCAUUUUUGCAGGAUUCACUUAUGAUUUUAAUUGUUUUUGGAAAUUGUUGUGUUUUCUUAAUUUCUCUUUUUUGAAUUUUCUUGUUUGAAGCGAUUCCUGAACUAAGUUCUAAAGCAUGAAUUACCAGUUUUAUCUUAUGUAAUGUUGGAUUUAGUUAUUUUUGGGAGUUACUCAUACGAGCUUUUUAGCUUAUCGGGUUUGUUGUUUACAACCCGGUGUACCAAUUCAUGGUGUAGGGGUUAGACCUGCAGGUGAUGAUCAGCAAAGUUGAGGCAGAGGCAUAGUAGCUGGGUUUUAGAUGUUGUAUUUUUUAUUUGUAUAUUAUUCGGUUUGUUUUUUUAAGCGUAUAUGAGCGUCCUUAUUUUACUAGACUUUUGAAGUUAAUGUAAUUAAGGAGAUGUAAUGUAUAACUCAAAGAUGAGUUUUGUUGAUAUUUACUUUUCCAGUUUUGAGUUUAAUUUGGAAGUUGUUGAUCAGGUUUUAGGAGUGAUAUUGUGAGUUAUAUCAUGCCCAAAUUUUUGAAAUUUAUCCUUCGAAAAUAUUGGGGUGUAACAACUAGAGUAGAUGCCAACACAAAUAACAAAAUGACAAUCAACCCUCAUUUCAAAUACGCUAAUUUGAAAUCUAUUACAAGAGAUCUCCAACUACUCAUAUCUAACUGCCAUGUAGCAAUAAUACUAGUCGCUUGCGAACCUCAAUUAGUGUACAAUUAAAUAAAUCAAGAAUUAAACAGAAAUAAUCUUCCAUCACUUGUCUAGGAAUGAUCAAGGAGAUUGAGCUACCUCCUUGCCCUUACUUUUAGAGUUAGCGGCACACCAAACUUCAGAGGUAGUAAGAUGCGACAGAGAGGUACUCGGCUUCUUGUAUGGUUUGAGAGGCCUUUGUAACCAUGUGACCCCAUUCUCUACCAAGAACUGGGUUAGGUUUUGAGCCCCACGGCCCAAUCUGAUCUGGGCACCCAACAAGAGACCCAUAGCCCAACCGUCACUAACACCUACGUCUUCAGUAGUUCUGACCAAGGAUGGCUAACCGUUGCCGGCACCGGUGCCCAAAGGGAUGGGUUCUUAGCGCCUUUCGUUGAUGGUCAUCCCAAAAGCAAUGACCUUCAACACUUAUCGGUGCCCAAAGGGAUGGGCGUCAUUGUAAAGCGUCGCACGUCUAGGUUUGAGCCUUUUCGUCUGAUUUCAUGUCUCGUCGUUGAGCUCCGUUGUCGGCAUCGUGCGUCGGGCUUCGAGCAUUGUUAACGGGCUUUUCUCUUGCGUUUGUAUAUGAGAGAGAGACAGAGAGAGAGAGAGAGAUGCGUAAAUUUGUUAUGAAAUUGUGUGUUUUGGUUAUUUUACAGUUAAAAUUCGGGUCAGUCCUACAAUUAUGUUUUGGGUUAUGUUUUGGGUCUGAACUCAUGUUCUUACUGAUAUAAAUUAAGUGAGUUUUUUGUGCUUUGAUAUUUGGUCAUCAUGUACUACUAUGUCAAAAAAUGUACUCGAUACAUUAGAAAGAAACUAUAACAAACAAGGAAUUAAGAGGAUGGGUAAGCAGAAUUGAACAAUAAUAGUGAAUAACCUAUUAAUAUACAAUUCCAUAUAAAUAUCAUUCUCAAACUUCCUCGUCUGGGAAAGAAUGAGAAACUAUAUCGCUGCAAUUAUCUUGCAUAACAUCGUUGUUACCUCCCUUGAUCGAAACGAUACUAUUAACAUAAAAUGCAGCUUCAUAGUUACGUAGAGAAACGCCUUCCAUAGGAAGAUACUUACACUUUUUUGUACGAGAGUCAUAAAAGAUUACUACACUCUGAUCCAUACCAACAUAAAGAAAUUGAUCGUUCUUCCCAGCAAAUGCCAAUGGAGAAUAAAUGCUCACAGCCGGCUCAAAGGUUAAGUAUUUUAUCCAAGAACCUUCAGUAGCACCAAUUUCAUCUAGCACCCAUAUGUCUGUGGAGUUCUCAAUAUUCCACCCGGAAAUGGCAAUGGAUUCAUUCCACAAUCCAAACACCUUACAGCUCAAAUUUGGAGAUGAUAAUACGUGAAACGUCUCAUCAGCUAAAUGAAACGAAAUCGUACAAUCCUUGGGGCAUUCGAAAACCUCAUCUUCAUCAGGUGUAUAACAUAUCACUGUUUCGUUCGGAUAUUCUUUUGCACACCAAUAAAUUAUUCCCUUACAAUGUGUAGAGUUCACUGCGUAAAUCUUCUGCAAUGGCCACGCGGUAACAGUGUCCUUGACCAAAUUAUUAGUCUUGAUUUCUUUCCAAUAAUUUGUGACGAGGCUGUAUACUUCUGCUUUUGGAGGAUGAAUUAUAACACGAUCAUCAUCGAUGAACUCUCGUUCAUUUUGCAAAAUUCUAACAACUUUAUAAGUUUUGGAUGUGAGAUCAUACCCAAAUCCCAUGGCAACUGUUGGCUCGACAUCAGUUCUGAAGUCAGGGGAAGAGAGAAGAAGAUUUGACACAGGAAGAAGCUUGAAUUCCUUGAUAGCCGGAUUGCAUAAAACAACUUUUUCUCGCAUGUCAGAUAAACAAACGAUCCCAUCGCAAUGACCUAAAAGUUCUACCCUCUCGUACCCAUAGCGAUCAAUCCUCAUUAGACGCAUUGAAGGUGGUACGUGGAGGUCCUCUAUAACAGUAUCAAGGUGAUGCUCCUCCGCAUCUUCUUCAUCAUCAUCAUCAUCAUAGAAGAGAUUAAACAAUGACAACACUACAUCCUUUUUGCCAGUGUUCAUGUCUCUUAGGACAAAACGCUUGAAAAGGAUGGUGAUGAAGGAUGACAGUUUGUUGUGCUUCGAAACGGAGAGGUGCUUGGUGAUGAAGUUGGGGUUGUUGAUCAAGGCAUACCAGGAAGUAUGAAUGCACUUGAAUCGCAUAAGAGAUUUCGCAGGGAGCCUUGACAAUAUUUGCACCAUCAUCUCUUCCGCCAAUUUGGACAACUUUGCCAUUUUUGUUUGCACCUCCUUUUCGAGCUAGUAUUCUUCUUCUUUUCAACUUAUACACAUUAACCAUGUAUGGAAAAGAUGGUGCGGAUCAAAAUCCAGUGUUGCUUGAAAUUGCUUCGCUACAUAAACAUUCGCAAGAUAUAAUGAUAUGUUUGAUGAAAAAAACAAUGAAAAAAUAAAUCUCAAAGUUGUUCAAAUUAGGUGAAAUUUGAAGAGAAAUAAAUUUUGCUUUCGAUUAAGUCUAGAAAAAUAAGUUGAUGGAUGAGAGUGAUAUAUAAUUGUUAGGCACCGAUUUUCUUGCUUGACCACUGGUUAGUGAUGGUUUGUUUAGUUUUAAUAAUUUUUUUUCCUAUACCGUAGCAUAUCAUAAAUAACGUACUACAACCACUAAGAGCAACUUUAGCAGACUCUCUAUUUUAGCUUUUAGCUAUUUUAGAGAGCGUGUUGAGUUUUUUUUUUAUAUUUUCAGAGCUCCAGCAGACUUGUCAAAGUUUAGCUAUUAUGACUUUUAGCUAUCUCGCUAGCUAAAUAUAGAGAGCGAGAUGACUCAGAUGAGGCUAGCUAUAAUUUAAUAUAUUUCUUGUAAGAUAUUUUAUGUGAUAUAUAAAUAUAUAUUUAAACUAUUUAAUUUCUAUUUAAAGAAUAAUGUUGAUGUAAUGCUAGCUAAAAUAAAGAGCAUUAAUACAGCCACAUUUCUAAAGUGGCUAGCGAAAAUGACAUUUUAGUUAAUUUGUCUAAAAUUUAACUUAAAAUGGCUAACAUUGUUAAAAAUGCUUUAACAAAAACAAAUUUUUUGUUCCCACUAGCCAAAAAAAUGACCAAAGAGGUUAAAAACAUAAAACUUCUCGAAACAUUGGAGAUAACACGGUCUCUCGUACCCCUCUAAAGCCCCCUUAUUGUAGAUACUCGGCAUUGUCGGCAAUAUCAAAUCACGUAAUGUCCCACCUUAUGGCGGUGUCAUUGGACGGACCAAAGAAGGCCUUAAGGAAAAUAUUUCUUUCUUUGAAUCUAAAAGAAUUAUGCAUGUACAAUACAAAAUUUUUCAUAAAAUUUAAAGUAUGAUGCUGAAUUUUUGAACGAACAUUUUGACGAAAUGUUUGAAAGAACUUCAUACUCAAUUAUUCAUUGUAGUCCUCUUCAAUUAGGGUUAGAAGAAAGCUUGUUGCCUUCUUCUCUUGUUCUCGUUCGUUUGCGAUGUGGCGUUGACGCCUUAGGCCUCACCAACGAGCGGCAUGCAUGUGCAGUUGGACGGGAUGUGGGUUUUGGUUUUCGGCCUAUUGAUCAGAGAAUGCAACGAAGUGGGUCUAAGGUCUUGUUUGGUAUAGCUUCGCUUAAAAAAAAUCAACUUCUAUUUGAACUUUUAGAUUUUUAUAGUGUUUGGUAAAUUAAAGAAAAACAGCGUUUAACAAAAUAUUACAAGUCAUUGGCAACAGAUUUUAGAAACAACCUCAUGUUUAUUUUUAAAAACAGUUAUUAUUAAAAACACAGAAAAAUAAUAUUUUAUAUCUUAGCAGCAUUUUUGAAAAUAAUAUUUACCAAACUCUUUUAAUUCACAAUUAAUUAUUGUCAUAGUACAACAGUUUAUUUUAAAAGUCGUAGUAAUAUCAAACUAGCCGUAAGUCAUUUGGAUCUUGGUUUACGUCGGUGACUGCAAAGGGAGGAGGUGCACGGUAGAAGAGGGUUCCCAGCUAUGUGAUAUUGGUCGUGAUUUUACAUCUUGCAACAAGGAUUUGGGAGGACGAUGUUCAAUUUUUGGUGGUUCUUGUUAUCAGGAUUAUGGGUGCUCAAAUUUUGGGGUGGUGUGGUGGAGGAUGGCAGCUGUUGAUGCUCUGUCGACGACGUUAGUUCGAAGACGGUGGGAAUCCAUGAGCGGUGACAAAGCAAUGAUUUGGAAGUGAAGGUAAGUGGUGCGGCAUGUGCAACAGCGUAGUAGGGAUGUAUUCACUUGGGCCCUUUUUACCCUGACUCAGUUGUGGAAAUGUUGGGCCUAGUAGGUUUUGAACCUCGGGCUUCGUCCUAGGUCCAAUAGAGUUUUUAUUUUAUUUUAUUUUAAUAUUGUUUUUAUUUACUUUUGUUGUUUUAUUUUUUGGCGUCGUAUGUGAGUAAUAAGCUCAUAUGUUAGCUUUGUAGGCCUAGUAGGGCUCCGUGUCGGGAUGUGCACUCAAAUUGCCUUGUCUAUCUGCUCUUAAAUAGGGAGCAAGUUCUUUGUUUUGUUAAAUGGCCGUCCACUGGUAGGGUGAACCUAUAUCUGGGUUGUAGUUUUUUUUUUUCUUUUCUUCUUCUAGCGACAACAUAGUUGAGAAGUUGAAUGUUGCACAUUAGGAUGUGUAAGCGUGUUAAAUAUCUAAUGAUCUUUCAAGCAUGUCACCGUUGUGGGAAAACAAAUAUAUAUAGUCAUCAUUAAACAAUACUCUUUUCUGUUUGUUGUCUGGUUAAGUACAUGUUUAUUAUAGAGAUCCUUGAUAUUCAGGUCAUUAUAAUAAAAGGUUUAGUCUCAACGUCCCACCGUCCUCACACACAAACACCCCGUGUACUUGACACUUUUGUUAAUUAAGGCUUAAGUGUAACCGUACCAGCCUUUAUUAGAAAAAAUAAAAAUAAAAGUAUAGAAACAUAUUACACAUAUGUAUUUAUCGCUCGUGGAUAUGAUAGAGUAUCUUUGAAGAUAUUCGUUAUUGAGGCUAAGUCGAGCCUAUCUUGGAGGUCAAGAAGGAUCUUGGUGUAAAUCUAGGUUAUUAUCAAUAUAUCAUGAAUCUGGUAAUUAAGAGGAUUGUUUGGUUACCGAGAUUGAGCGGCAUGGAAGAUCUUUCAUGAAAAAGGCAAUAUGGACGUGUUUCAUGCUAGUUAUGAAGAGUUAUGAAUACGUGAUUGGAAGCACAUCACCUGUGCCAAAUCUGUGCCACCAACUAGAAUUUGACAUGUCAGCGCUACCCUAACACCUCAAUAACUCUGUUAACUCUAAUCUUAUUUUUAAUUUUGAAAAAGUAUUUUUCUCUUUUCCUCUUUAUUUCUCGUGAAUCAAUCCCAGAGCUGGCUUCUUCAUCGAACAAAAAAUUUCUCCCACUAAAAUCAACUUCGUCCUCCGUCCUCCGAUGAGGCUAAAAGAGAUGAACAAAAAUUGGGAUUGAAAUCCGCAGCAAGUUUUGGAUUGAAAUCAAACAAAAUCAAAUUAAAUGUUGAAGGUUGUCAUCAGGUGCAGAAGGAGACCCAAUAGAGAAAUUCUUAUCAGGGUGCUGCUGAGUUUGUUGCAGUCUUGCAGAGGUGUAGAGAUUAACCUAUUUUCAGCGAUAACAAUUAGAAAGUAAUAACAAACCCAGUAAGGGAAAGGAAAAGAAAACUAGAAACAUCGUCAGGGAUAUCAAUCGAUCUUGUUAAAUCUGAAAAUAAAUCCAAAUUGGUCUUCACUGAAUAAAGGGCUUCCUCAAUUUGCUUCUCCUGAAAAGAAAACAAGAUGGGUUCUUGUAGAUUGAGAAUAAGGCUGACGAUUAUACAUAUUGAAGCUCAAAUUAGAAAAACAAGAGAGGAAAUUGGGAAAUAGAAUUGUGGGUAAGGCAAUAAAUAUAAUUAAUGAUGUUAUCUAUUGGAAUUUAGGAUGACAGAGUUGCAGGGGAAGAAGAUAGAAAUGAUGAGAAGAAGAAUCUGCAUCUGACGAUGAACAUGGUAGAGGAACAGUUGGAUGAAACAUUAAUAAUCAAUACGUUAUAUUUAUUUUGUUAAGAAAAUAGCUAGAAAACAAUAAUACUUAACGGUGUGAACUUCUGUCAAGUCAAUGGACAGGUGGUAAAUUCUUGUUGGUGGCACAGAUUUGGCACAUGAGUUUUUCGGAACAAAUGAUUUACUUCUGACGUGAUUACCUUAGAAAUUAAGGUAUAAGAGACUUGGUUCAAUUAAGGAAGGAUAUCAUGCAAAGAGGUCUUAAUUACUUUGAAGCAUAUAACGUCCAGAAGCUAUAUUGAGUAAGGAUUACAUUCUUUAAUGAUGGCAUCUAAGAGAAAUUCUCAGGUGCAACAGCUCCACCACCUGGUACAUGCGCACCAAAUUAUUCUUUAAUACAUUGUUUUUUUUUUUUUUCAUACCUGCCUUUUUCUUCUUCCUCUUUUUUUCGGCGAAACAGAUCCCCUCUGGCGAAGCUUUUUCACAACUCUUCUUCUUCUUCCGUCCUCUGCUUCUUCCUUCCUUCCUCUCUCUUCUUCUUCCUUCCUCUCUUUUCUUCUUUUUCUUUCCUCUGCGUGAUUUGCACAGGUUGGUGGAGGCGCGGCUCGACGGCGGCAGGUUGUAAUACCCCGGAAAUUUAAUAUUAGUUUUUAAUUUUAUUUGGGAAUUUUUGAGUUAGAAGUUAGUGUGUUUUGAGAUUCGAAGGAAGAGCGGAAACGUUCGGAUGCUUAUUUUACCUGAAACGGUUUUAGGGUUUUGAAGGGUCAAGAGUUGACUUUUUAAUCUGUUGGGUUUCUCGAGAAACUUCCUUCAUAGAAGUUGUAGAGCACGACGAUACGAGUUCGUAGACACGUGGCACGCGUAAAAUGGACUUCGUAUGAGGAAGUUAUGGUAAGCGGAAAAUUGUGGCUUUAGGGGAUUUUUGGGUUUAAAUAAGAAAAGUGUUAGGUUAAAUUUCAUUUUUUCCGGAACCAUUUCUUCCCUCUUCUCUUUCUCUCCCGCGCCUCCCCUUCGAUAUCUGAGUUUUCCAACCGACCCGACCCGGACCCGGCGACCCGACCUGACUUUUUCGGCCAGCUCCGGCCGACCCAGACGACGGCACCGGUCGGGUUCUCUUCCUCUCCUCCGUUCAAGUUGCCCUGUGGUGGUGACUUGCGCCGAUUCAGUCCCGAAGUGGUGACCCGAAGCUUGGAAGUCCGGGUUGGAGACCGGUCGGGUUUCCCACCUCCGGCGAUGGCGACGCAGCUUGGAAACGGUCGGGAUAGGAGCUCCUUGGCGUCCUGGUUCGUUUCCGAUGGUCUUGAAGCUCGACUCUCGGUGUGGAGUGGUGGUGGUGAAUUCCAACUUUUCCGGCGAGUUUUCGGUGAUUUCCGGCCGAUUCCGGCUGAACUGGUUGGACCUUCAGGUAUGAAAAGUGUCCCCCUUGUAGUAAUCUUCAAGUUUGAUGUUGGAAGUUUGUUGAGAUUGUGAAGUUGUAGGGUGGCGCGUGGGGCCCACUCGCCGCCGCCGGUGGUGGCGCGUGGCGGCGCGUUAGGCAGGAUGUGUAGGUUUAGUUACUUUGGUUAGCUAGUUCUUGUUGUUGUGAGCAUGUUGGUAUAUUAUGAGAUUAGGUCAAGUUUGAUUAAGUUUUGCUUGUUAAAUUCUUUAUUAUUGUAGACUUGUGCGAAGUGUUGAGGUAGGAGAAUCCAAAGUUAGGCACUGAGGGAAGGUAGUUAAGUGUUCAAUGACCUUGGGAGGUCUCGGAAGAAGGUUGUCCUUUUUUGGGCAAAGCUCGGGUUAAGGCUUGUUAAGGGUGCAAUGUUCUUUUGGUUCUUUUGGUUAAGUGGUUAUUAAUUUAUUAAUUGUGUAAUUAUAGGCGACUUGCGAAGUGUGUUGAGCUUGGUUCUUGAGUUUCCUUUGUGAAGACGCAGCGGGAUUUUUAGGUGAGUAACAUCUCACCAAGGUCCACUUUCGGACCAAUUAUUUAUAAUUAUUAUGAUGAUGAUUGUGAUGUUGAUUUUGAAGAUGAUUAUGAUGAUGAUUGUGAUGUUGUUUUUGAGGAUGAUGAUGAUGAUAAUUAUUAUGAUGAUGAUGAUAAUGGUUUUGAUUGAUGAUUAUGAUGCUAUUUUUUUAUUGUGAGUAAAUCUCACAUGGGUUCUUAAGGAACCGAAUUUAUCUUAUAAUUUUGUUAUUAUUAAUUGUGAAAUUGUCCUUGAAGGAAAAUGACUUUGUUUUUUUAAAAAUAAAUGAGCUUGAUCGUCAACGGCUCAUGGUAAGUGAAAACAAGUUUUCUGUUAAAAAUAAAUCUUUCAAAAGGACUUUCGAUCAUGUGAUAUUGUGAUGUUGAAAUAUGGUUGUUGAUAGAUUAUUCUAGUGGGAAUAUCUAUAAUUGUUCAUAUAAAUAUAUAUCUUUGUGGAAUGAUAUAAUUUAUGAUGUGCUCUUUGUGUUGUUGAUGAUGAUAUUUUUUUUAUAUUUUGAAUUGUUGUUUAAAUAGUCAAACCGGGUUCCUAGCCUUUAAUCGGGUGAUAGGUUACGGUUAUGAUUAUAUUAUUAUUUUGUGAUUUGAUAAGUGUUAUGAUGGGAGAGUAUUGGAAUGUGUGCCUUAGUGGUGAUUGCGUGCAUUAGUUGUGUAUGUGUGUGUCUUAGUGGUGAUUAUUAGAUUAGGAGUCUUCGUGGUGGACCGGGAACCAAGCCUUGGCCGGUGGAUUGGUUACGGUCAGUAUAGAGCUCUAGUCUGUCAGUCGUUACUUCAUGGGGGAUGACUAAGUGUUGACGAACCCAUGAGUACGCAUUUGUUUGGUUACUUAUGGGGGAUGACUAAGUGUUGGCGAACUCAUAAGUAAGAGUAAAGAAAUGUUUGUGUGAUGUUCUUAUGUGUUGUUUUGAUUUCUUGCUUUGAGUAUCUCCUGAACUAUGCUUAUCCGCAGGAGAUUCUUAAAUCUUAAUUGUGUGAUUUUAAUAGAAUUCUUGAACUAUGUUUAUUUAUAGGAUUUAUUUAUGAUUUUGGGUGAUUUUAAAUUAUUGUGUUUUCUUAAUUGUUUCUUUUGAAUUCUCUUGCUUUUAGGCGAUUCCUGAACUAAGUUGCUAAUGCAGGAAUUACCAGUUUUAAUUAUAUGUGAUGUUAGGAUUGUUGGGUUAUUAUUUUGGGAGUUACUCAUACGAGCUUUUUAGCUUACCGGGUUUGUUGUUUACAACCCGGUGCAUCAAUUCAUGGUGUAGGGGUUAGACCUGCAGGUGAUGAUCAGAAGGUAGGAGGCAGUGGCCUAGGAGCUGGGUUUUUAACGAUAUACAUUUAUUUGUAUUUUAUGGUAGUUUUUAAGCUCAUGUAAGCGAAGUAGUUUAUUACUAGACUUUUGGAAGUUGAUGUAAUUAAGGAGAUUAAAUAUUUAACUCGGUUGAUGAGUUUAUCGACAUUUAUAUUUCCAGUAUUUGUUUUUAGUUUUGAAAAUUGUUGAGCAGGAUUAUGGGAUAUUAAGAUUUUGAGUUUUAUCAUGCCCAAAUUUUUGAAAUUUUAUCCUUCGAAAAUUGGGGUGUGACACAGGUUGUCAGGCUUAUGGUGUUGGCAGCGCUGGGGGGGGGGGGGUGUUAGGUGACGGCUGGGUAGAGGGAGCUGAGGGGAUCGACGGUUUUGUCGGAGAAGAGAGAGGAAGGAAGAAGAAGAGCUGCCCAAAGAAAAAAAAAAAAAAAAAAAAAAAAAAACAAACGUGUCGCUGUGUGACUAGUGGGUCGCAUAGGACACAUGGUGCGGCUGUCGCACGUAAGAUUUUCUCAGCAUCUGAUGAUGAUUACAUGAGAUAUGGUGAUGAUGCACGUCCAAAAUUGAAGAGUCACACUUGGAAAAAUAUCUUUACUUAGAAGGUGUUGACGUUAGAAGAUCUCCAAGAAUUACAUUUGAGGUGAAUAUGUUUACCUAUAAUAUCGUAUCUUUAUGAUACACGGAAAGAUACAUGCAGUCUAAUUAUCUUUCUUUUUCUAUUGGGUAAUUACUAGGGGAAGAUAUGUAGGAUAUCUCAGAGAUAUUGUUUAAUGGCUCGAUUAGGAAAAUAUCUUUCCUGAUCUGAUUAGAGAUCUGAUUUGUUUCAAAGAUAAGUUAUUCACAAACCUAUUCUAUAUAUAAAGAGGUUCUAGGCGAAUGAGAAAAGGAUCGACAAUUCAACAAACCCUAGCACACUUGCAAGUUAGACGCCUCUUAGGAGCACCCAAUCUACCAAAAAGCCUCUCCAGGGACCAUUGCAAGCCCGAGUGCGCAACAACAGAUCAAGAAAGUUACGCUGAAACCAGAAGCGUGGGCACACCGACAUCUCAAAAACACUAGCCAAACAAAGGGAAAGAGAGGAAUAAGUAGAGGAGAAAUUACGACGUUUAGUGAAAUGUUAGAAGAAAUGAUAGUGCGAGUCCUAUCAAGACUGCCACCCAAGUCUUUGGUACGAUUUAAAUGCAUCAGCAAGUCAUGGGACACCAUUAUCAAUGAUCCUAGCUUCGUGGCCGAGCACCUUUCCAUUUCUAGGCACGAUGAUUUCGCUUCUGCCACUUGCGUCCUUGUCAGGCAUACUCUCUUCCAGGAUAGAAGCAUUACGGAUGAGGAAGAGAUUGCUGCUUGCCGAGCACCUUUCCAUUUCUAGGCACAAUGAUUUCGCUUCUGCCACUUGCGUCCUUGUCAGGCAUACUCUCUUCCAGGAUAGAAGCAUUACGGAUGAGGAAGAGAUUGCUGCUUUGAAGAAACAGCAAAAUUUCGACAAUAACAGCAUAGAUCUUUUACUGUCAUUACUUCAUUUUGGCAACGAUGAUGACGGUGAUGGCGAUAAUCUUACUUUUGCUGUUGAAGAACUUGCUGUUAUGUUUCCUUCGAAUACAAUUCCCUCGUAUCUACGAAUUAUAGGGCAUUGUGAUGGGAUUAUUUGUCUAAGCACUAAUGUCGAUGAUGUCUUGUGCAAUCCCACAAUCAGAGAAUUCAAUGUUCUUCCCAAGUCUUGCGUCCUUUAUGAUCUCCCUCCUAUGUCUGAAGAUGAGGAUGAAUAUACUGCACCAUGGUCAAAUGCAGCUGCUAUUUGAUUUGGCCUUGAUUCCAAAGCUAAAGAGUACAAAGUUGUUAGAGUUGUUGAAACAACUUCGGGUCUUGCUACUCAACAUCCUACAAGAGCAGAGGUAUACACCAUGGGUGCUAAUUCUUGGAGAGAGCUCGAGAAUGUUGAUACAGCUAUAGGCAGUGGCGUAGCCAGAAAUUUUAUCAAGCAGGGGCAAAAUUUAAAUAGUCACAAUUUACAUAGGUCAUUGUAUGUUAAAUAAUGAUUAUAUUAAUACUAUAUAUAGUUAAAAUCAUCUAACCACAAUAGCUUCAAUUUAAAAAAAUAUAUAUAUCACAUUGUUUGAUUUAUCCCAAAAAAAUAAAAUAAAUUGAUGCCGUGUAAAAAUAGAAGAAAACUAAUAGUACUCCAAUGUGUUAUACACUUUACUUAUACCCGAGAAAUUGACAAAUAUUUCUUCUUAUUGUUGCUUGAAUCUAUUGAGCAAGUCACAAGCAAAAUCUUUUGUUAAAGAAAGAUAAAUACAUAUAAGCUUAGACUGUAAAUAAGCUUCAUUUAUUGUCUGGUCAUAAUAUAGUUAGCCUAUCUUAACCUUUAGACUAGGAAUAGUGGACAAUUAUUUCAGAAGGGUCAUUCUCAGCCAAUGGACUUGGUUUCAUAUGAAAGAAGCAUAAAACUCAACCAAUCAGCAACAAUUCUCAAAUGUCGAGAAGGGUCAGUUGACCUCUCUCGCCCUCUAUUGGCUACGCCCCUGGCUAGUUAAUUAUGAGAUUCUGGAAGUAAAGAAUUAUACUUAUGAGUGUAAUUAAUUAUAGGAUGGUACUAUUAACACACUGAUCAUUUUUNNNNNNNNNNNNNNNNNNNNGGUCUAAGUUCUUGGUAGAGAGGNUCGAGAAUGUUGAUACAGCUAUAGGCAGUAGGCGUUAGACCAGAAAUUUUAAUUCUAAGCAGGGGUCAAAAUUUAAAUAAGUCACAAUUACAUAGUCAUUGUAUGUUAAUAAUGAUAUAUUAUACUAUAUAUAGUUAAAAUCAUCAACCACAAUAGCUUCAAUUUUAAAAAAAUAUAUCACAUUGUUUGAUUUAUCCCAAAAAAAUAAAAUAAAUUGAUGCCGUGUAAAAAUAGAAGAAAACUAAUAGUCCAAUGUGUUAUACACUUUACUUAUACCCGAGAAAUUGACAAAUAUUUCUUCUUAUUGUUGCUUGAAUCUAUUGAGCAAGUCACAAGCAAAAUCUUUUGUUAAAGAAAGAUAAAUACAUAUAAGCUUAGACUGUAAAUAAGCUUCAUUUAUUGUCUGGUCAUAAUAUAGUUAGCCUAUCUUAACCUUUAGACUAGGAAUAGUGGACAAUUAUUUCAGAAGGGUCAUUCUCAGCCAAUGGACUUGGUUUCAUAUGAAAGAAGCAUAAAACUCAACCAAUCAGCAACAAUUCUCAAAUGUUGAGAAGGGUCAGCUGACCUCUCUCGCCCUCUAUUGGCUACGCCCCUCGCUAUAGGAUGUCGCCCCUCUUGGGCUCCUUCUUUUGUCUUGCACUUCAAGGGAAUUUGUUAUUGGUGGGCAUUUGCUGCGGAAGAUAAGGAAGUCAUCCUUCCAUUCAAGGAUUAAAAUAUCGGUAUCAGUAGAUAUAUCGGUCAUUUGAAAAAGGGAGAUUUCGGAUAUAUCGGGGAAACCCGGGAAAAAUACGGUAUUUUGGGAAGAAUUUUUUUUCGAAAAUAUUUAAUUUAUUGGAUUUAUAUAUAAAUAUUACAAACAUCAACUUCAUCUACAUCUAGAAUGAGAAUCUAGGUUGUUGAUAAGAGUCAUAAGACACACGCUGGUCCACAAAAGUACAAUAAUCAGACCAAGACAUAUAACUCAUAUAGUACAAAUUGUAGUGUUGAAUAUGAUAAUCAUAUAUGUCUUUAGAGCUGCUGAUUGUUUCCCCUAUAAGUGGAUAGUAAGGAUGAAUCCAACUGGUUGACUGAUCACUGACUUUCGCGCAUUGAUUAUAGCCAUAAACAUUAUAGCCAUAUUGAUUGUUGUCUUCUUGGGAUUCAUUUGAGGUUCCAGUCCCACUACCUAAACUGAUAGAAUCAAAACUUAGCGCAACUGAAGCAACAUCUUGAUCAUCAUUUGGACCUCUAGUCCUCCUCCCAUACAUGGUAUCCUCUUGCGCUCCAUACCUAGUACUUCUAUAACCAUGAUCAUGGGAGGCAUGAUCGUAAUCACUCAAGAUAUGGUGGGAGUGUGGGACGUUGGAGUCACAUGACUCACAUCUCUCUCUCUCUCUCUCUCUCUCUCUCUCUCUCUCUCUCUCUCUCAUCUCUAUAAUUGUGUUCUCUAUCUUAUGUCACAGACUCACGGUCUCACCAGUACACCUGUGUUCUCUAUUUUAUACUCAUUCUCUUUCUCAAGUGUAAAUAUUCCUCCACUAUCCACUCAUCUUCAAGUUUGAUAAUUGUGUAAUAGAUCAAUCUGCAUCCAGAUAUAUCUCGAAAGGAAUCAUGCUCUUCUCGAGAGUCGAAACCACCACUCUUCAUUGGGGUACACCUCGAGGGAAUUACUUCUCUUCCGGAUAUCAUUUCAAUUUUUUACAGAUAUUUUUUUAAUAUGUCGGUGAUAUAUCGAAAAUAUCAUAAAUGUCGGAGAUAUUUCCUGAAUAUCGGUGAUAUUUGACGAUAUUUCUUAAAUAUCGAGGAAAUAUUGUAGAUACGGUGGAAGAUAAGAUAUUAACCUUUAUAGAUAUAUCAGUCCUUCAAAAAAAGGAGAUAUCGGAGGAUAUAUCGAAUAUAUCACAGAAAUUUUAAUCCUUGCUUACAUUUGAUACGAGUGAUGAGCAAUUUCAUCGGAUACCGGUGCCAGAUUGUUUUGAUUUUUAUAACGAGAGACAUUAUAGGGGCCUUGCUGUGUUGAAAGAAUGCAUUGUUCUUCUGACCUAUGAAGCAGAAGAUGAAGUUCCUAAAUCUUUUAACAUAUGGAUGAUGGAUGAGUCUACAGGUGUUACGUGUUCUUGGAUAAAAUACUUGGCGUUCGGACCGGUGGAAGGGAUCAUGAUUCCACUAGUAUUUUGGAACCGUGAGGAGCUUCUAAUGGUUACCAGUGAGAAAUUUUUUAGAACCACGUGACAUUGACAUUGUCUAGUGAUUCUCCUUACCUAUAAGAUGAUGUUGCCAUGUGGAAAUUUUGACUUGUCUGAUUGUCAGUUAACAACAAACUAACAUAAUUCUCCACCUCUUUUCUCUUGCCGUCAGAAAAAGGCAAAAAAAAAAAAAUCAAACCCAGAUCUGCAGAUUUUAAGAGGGGUUGAUAGAUACCCAGAUCUGCAAUCCUCUUUUCUUCUUUUCUUUUUCUCAUCUUCAUGACUUUUGAUAUGAAUCAAAGAACAGAAAAUUGAUUCUAUACUUAGUAUAUGUAAUCAAGUUACACCAAAUCAAACCCACCUAUAUUCAUUAUUAGGAGGCGUUUGGCAGAGGAGACUAGUUUAGAUUGACAUCACAACCAGACUUGAUUAGUAUGGGACUUGGAUUUAUCAUACUUAUCUGGUGUUUGAAACAACCAGAUUACAACACAACUGGAAUUCGAACAGAAAUACAGAAUCAAUGAACCAACAAAUUAAUUAAAGUUCAAUCCCUUUUUGAUUCCAAAUAGAUUAUUGGAACGGGUUAUCCCUAGAAUAGCCCAUGCUUUCAGGAUAGAUUCAUGUUCUCCGGCGGGGCACACUCAAUCAUUCCGGCGAUCUCAAUAUUUUGCAGAACACCGACAUCGGCGAAAUCAAAAGGUCGGUUGAGAAGAGUAAAAAAGAAGCAUAAAAUAGAAGAAGAAGAAAGGAGAUGAAGCUGAUGAGAGGCAAUAAUUAGAGUACGAGACCUAUGAAGGAGAGGAGAUGAUGUUCAUGUCUGGAGGGAGGUUGAAGAACAGAUAAGUACGUAUUGAAACUGGAGUAGCGAUAGAUGUCUUUGCACUGUAUGACGGCAACCUUAACGACAGAGUUUAAGCGUUUAAUUUAUUAUUCAUAGGUAUCAAAAUUUCCACGUGGAAACAUCAUAUAGGUAAAGAGAACCACCGGGCAAUGUCACGUGGUUCUCUGAGAGCGUUGGAAAAUUUCUCCAAUGGCAGUCGUAUGGUUUCCUAUAACAUAGGUACCAAAAAGCUCCACCGUUUAAGGCGUGGAAGGCGCACGCUAUUUGCAAGCUGUUAAUUAUGUAAAUAGUGUUAUUUCCGUCAAAGAGACCGCAAGCCUAAUAUUGAGGCCAUAGAUAAUUUCUAGUCAUAAUAGUUCUCAUCCAAAAAAAUUAUACUUCUAAUAAAAAGUCAAAACAGUACUUGAUUUAGCCCAUUGUAAAAUCCUUUUUUGUCAUCAGAAAAUUCACACUAUAGAUAUCCGCCCAAUUCAUACGAGUAUUCAUUUUCGCACAACUAAUUUCCAGAAAUUUAAUCAUUCAUUAGUUGGUAUUUAGUAACAAAACAUGAGACAACCAAAAUUUAAGUACUGUACCCCAUGUAAUCCAAAUCAUCAAUCCACCAGCUUUCUUGCUUAAUUUCAUCAAAAAUAACACAAACAUCAUUUACAACAUCAGAAGAGUAUAGAUAGAAUGUCAAGACCUCAUUUAUUUUUUACUCAAGAACAUCCAUUGGAGGCUCAGCAUAACAUAAGAAAAAGCCUGUUAGUAAUGUAACAAAAUGAGAUUCACCAUAACAGAACGAGCUUGAUUCAAGGUUUACAAUAUCUGAAAAGGAUGAUUCUCAACAUACAAAGAUAAGGCCAAUUGACAGGGAAAGGGUACGUAACUCUUUAAGCUGGGUUAUGAUACUCAGAAGACGAACACUUAUGAAAUAGAUAAACAUAAGAUUCUUCAUUUCUUCCUGAUGAUAAGCACAGUUAAUCGCCAAUAUCCUCAAUCUAGAUGUUCCAUCUGCAAAGCAAGGCAAACAAUAAGGAACACCCACAAUACAGAAAGGACCAUUAUAAUAUUCAGUAGAUGCCAUAGCAUGACUACUCCUUAGUGAUUGCAAUUCAUCAGAUCAUUUGAAAGCAUACCAUUAUAAGGAACAAAUGUUUUGGCAUGACAAUGCCUCACUGAUUCUACCAAAGGAAAUAUCUGCUUUAAUAAAUAAAAAACAAUAACAAGUACACAUGAAGGAUCAUAGAUACAAUGACAGUAUUAAGUGCAGGCAUACCUUCCAAAGACCGUCAUUAAGAUAAUGCAUGUUGUCAACUCCAAUUCCCUUGUUGAUCAGCUUACUGUACGCCAAACAGAGGACUCAACUUGUUGAAUAAACCAAUCAAAAAUAGAUAAGUAAUCUAACUCUGAUACACAUAUGAUGUUGCCAUAAGAUGAACUUAGAGAUGUCUAUAUAACAGACGGUGCCAAAUAGAAAGGUCUACAUUGACCACCUACUCCACUGAGGCACAACCGCACAACAAUAAAAUUUUCAUGUCAUUCCAGGUCAACAAAUACAAAUUACUGAUAUUGGAUUCAACUAACAAAUAUCUCUUCCACAUUUUUACAGGCUUAGGAUAACAGGAGAAGCAGUAAUCAAACAAAUUGAACAAUUGGUUACGCUACUUGAGGUUUAUACCAAAUAACAAGUGGGAAUAAAAAGAAUAAAACUGUAAACAAUGCUAAGGUGUUUGUACUUUGUAGAGCAGAAAUCAUGUGGUAGACAAGGAUGUAUUAUCAAAUGCGAGUAUGAGCAACCAUAGUUACUCUUUCUUCAUUCCUUUUAUUCAAUAAAUGAGGAUAAUACUUGGCUAACCAGAAAGACACAUCAGUAAAGUUUUAAACAUUGUCUGUCAGAUAUUUGAAGAUUGAAUCAGUCACUGCAUACUCCAUCACUUCCUUUUUCUCACACUAUUUAGUUGAAAUUUAAUAUAAGACCUUAACUUACAUUUCUUUUGCUGACAUUUUUGUGAAGCCAAUAGCAAGGGCAUGCUGCUUUCCUUCUGCCAUUAUUGCCUGACAGUAUGCAGUCCCACAGAUCAGAAUCAUAAACUUCUUAUCUCCCUUACAUGUGAAGGAAACUAAUCCAAAUCAAUUCUACAUAAUACCUGAACUUUUUUUAUUUUCUAAAAUCAAAUCUCAGUCAGAACCAUAAAUAAGAAACCAAAAAGAAGCAAAAAACGAAAAACAAAAAACAAAAAAGGAUGUCGGAGUUUUACCACAGGAGUUUCUGCAGCAACUUCGUCAUCCAAAGCACCACCAGGAGAAGUUAAACCUGGACACAUUAUGUUUGCACCAGCAAGAACAAACUUUAUGGCACCCCUAUCUACUUGUAACUUUUUCAUUAUAUCUGGAUCUGCCAAAACCAAAACAAAAGAUUCCGGGUAUUCCCGGAUACACAUUAUUGAGGAAAAAUUCCAAAAACAAGGGAAUUCAUGUAGUUGCAUGAGAGAUUCAUAGAACGAAAUUAAUUAUGGUAUUUUCAAACAAAAAUUAUUAAGAGCAGUUUGAUCCUAUUAAUGCCCCUUUCCACCUUUUUCCCCUAAAUUCAUAAUUUUUGACUUGUGAUAUACUAUGAAAUCCUUCUCUCUUCAUUAUGGUACCAGCAUGUUGUUGAAUGGAUUCUUCCAAGCACAAGAACUGCUUCCUCAGAGUAGGGCUCAUUCUUAUUUGCUGAUCCCACAGAUUAGAUGGUUUCUAUUGUCAUCUCAUUCAAAAUACCUUCUUAUUUACUAAUUUAUUCUGGAAAAUUUGUGAAAACUGUCUAGUCAUUCCCAUCAUCAUCCUGGAGUUAAAACAAAUCAUUUAUCAUUCUAUUCUCAAGUGUAAACAGAAGCAAAGUUUUUGGUACAACUACCACUUAGCAGUUUAUUAGAAGAUCCUGCCAAAUCAUUCACUCCUAAAUCUUUUUUACACCCUUACAAGGAAGAAGCCAAAAAAUAACUUGACCGAAAAAAACCACGACAACCUAAAAUGAGAUACAGAUAGUUUAUUUGGAAAGAACAUUUUACAUUGGUGAAGCAGUCUGAGAGUAGGCAUAUAUGGUCCAUCACGUAUGUUGAAAAAUAGUGGCACACUGUUUACCACCACCAAGUUUAGAUGGUUCUGACUGCCAAGUGGAGGUUGAAAGAAGUUAUGAGAUAAAUUGGUUAUUAUUGCAGAGUUAGAAGUAAACCGUAUUAGCAGGAACAACAGAGUCAAACCAUUUAGCAACAAUGAGAGGAGAUUUCUUUGGAAGCAAAUCAUCCAACACUUGUUCCAGUCCAGGGUACUGCAAGUAGAGUUAAAUUUGUGUCAAAAACAUAAGCAAAAUAUAUCUCGAAGCAUCAGUAAUACUAUGUAGAGGCCACUGGUCGUAGAAUAGUUUUACCUCUUCUGCAAUACUUUGUCGAAUUUUACGCUGGACAGAUGCCUUUACUUGGUUUUGUGCCGAUACCUCUUCAGUUGAAAAUCUGCAUUGUAACAAUAUAUGAAUUGGUGAUGGAAAAACAUGUUUAGCGAGAUAGAUUGCACAGUUCAAGAGCUUGCUUCUCCAAAAAGCAGCAUAAUUGCACAAAAAAUAAACUCACCAGAGACAGUUCAACAUUUCACACUUGUAUCUAAUCAUUUAAAGUUUUCUUAUAACCACAAAAAAUAACUGCCCAACUCACCUCCUUACUUUCUAGUUUCUACUCCAGAAAAAAUAAAAAAAUAAAAAAUAAAAAGCACAAAUGCAAAGCCAAAAAAUCGAAAAUUACAACCCUUAGAAAAACAUAAUCAAACAAAGCAAGAAUCUUUAAUUAAGGUUCAUCGAAUUAAACCAAACCUAUGCAUCAUCCGUGUCAAUUAUCAACAAAGAAUGGAACAAGUGCCAACCCAGAUACAAAAUAACAUUGAUAGAUAGUUGUAUGCGGGAUUGUGUUUAUAAGCUUACUUUUUGAACAUGUUUGCAGAUGGAAGGAAAGAACAGAUCUAUGAUCUUCGACUCCCAAGUAGAAAUAAAAUAAAAAUCAACUGGUUAGGGCGGGAUAGAACCGAACACUAAAACCUUGAGCUCUGUUUUUAUUUUUCCUGGAAAAACUGAGACUGGUGCGGGGAUCAGUUUCGCAGCUGCGAACUAUAGUCCGCGACUCCUCGUUGGAGGCAAGUGGUGCGCCACUUGCGGGCUUUUACACUCGCCUGGCUCGAAAUGAGAUAAUGUUUGGGCUUAAACGAUUUGGUUAUCUGAAUGGGCCGUAUAAUCUAGGACAUCAUUGCACAACAAAUAAAGUUGAAGCGUUUAAUGCCACUAGUCCCCAAGUCCACAUCCAUAUGGGGAAGAGCAUAAAAAUUGUCGGUUGUACAACUAGGUAUUGAGGCAUGAAUGGCAACAAUAGAAGGAAACUAGACAAAAUCCCCGUGGGUUGCUGCGGGUAUGGGUCACCUCGUGAUCUGUUCUAAUAAUAGUUAUUGUUCAUAUGAAGUAUGAAGUUGUUUUAUUUUUUUAUCAUGUAAAUAACUCAAAUAUUACAAUUAGUUUUUCGUGAGUUAAACUCAUAACCUCAUAUUUUUUAAAGAGAGACUAUGUCGCUAAAUCAAAUGGUAUUAGGCGUAUGAAAAUCAAGCAUAUGACGGUUUUUACAUGAAAUUCUUUGAGUGAUAGUGUGGCUAACUUAUAAACAUUUGUAUGAAAAUUAGAGUGAUUAUAUAGUGAGUUUUCAGUUAGCACGAUUUUUGUUGUGUAAGCUUAGUUUUAGUGCAUCAAAGUGACAAUUAUGGCAUGACAUAAAUAUGACUAUGGCAUAUGACCCAUUACUCUUUAAAACUUUUGAGACACAACAUUUUAUGCCCUAAGUUAAUUGUGUUUUGUGAGAAAACUAUUAGAAGGAUUAAAUUGUGUUUUUGUUAUUUUUUGGAUUUAGGUUAAUGUUUUUGGUUAGGACAAGAUGUUUAAUGCAAUACUAUAUAUAACAGUGCGCUUAAGUCGUGGGGGUUUGUAACAAAUGUCUGGCAAAAAUAAAUGGCUUUCUGGCCAGCCAAAUCCGACUGCAUAGGGGCCUCUAUCUUCUUUUGGCAACGAUAUCGAUGAGGGAUAUAUAUAUAUAUAUAUAUAUAUAUAUAUAUAUAGCCCCCUUCCAUUGAGGGAGUACAAUUUAGUUACUCAAUGGCUAUUGUGUUCAACAAAACAAGAAAACCAGCGACAUAGUAUCUUCUGGAGUACAUGCACUAUCAAAGAAAUGCCCAUGUCAUUGAUAAUAGACAGUGGAAGUUGCGAGAACUUCGUCUCAAAGAAAGUGGUGGAACACUUCAAUCUUCUUACUACGAAACAUAGGGCUCCAUAUGCCAUUGGAUGGAUCAAGAAAGGCCCAGAAGUUCGCAUCACCGAAACAUAUAAAGUGCCAAUUUCAAUUGGGAAAUUCUAUCAAGAUGAAGUUGAACGUGAUGUGGUAGACAUGGACGCCAGCCACAUACUUCUAGGCAGACUGUGGCCGCAUGAUGUCAACACUAUCCACAAUGAAAGAGAAAACACAGUAUUGUUCAUAUGGGAAAAACACCAUAUUACUUUGAAGCCUAAGACCAAGCCUACAAAUUUGGUUUCACCAAAACAGUCUAACUUUCUUAUUGUUGUUGAACCUGGUGAAAAGGUGGAAGAACUUGUGAAGGAUGCAGAAGCUAUUUAUCCUUUGGUAGUUAGGGAAGUAAUGGUGGCUGAAAGCAACAAAGAGGAGAAGAAAAUUCCAAAAGAAGUCCAGCAAUUACUGCAGGAUUUUGAAGAAUUAUUGGAUGAUGAUUUUCCAAAUGAACUACCUCCUAUGCGAGAUAUUCAACACCAAAUCGAUCUUGUCCCUGGGGCUAAUUUACCUAACCUCCCUCAUUAUCGGAUGAGCCCUAAGGAGAACGAGAUACUUAGAGAGAAAAUUGAAGAGUUGCUGCGAAAAAGACACAUUCGAGAAAGCAUGAGCCCUUGUGCAGUGUCUGUUUUGUUAGUACCAAAGAAGGAUGGGAGCUGGAGGAUGUGUGUGGACAGCCGUGCAAUCAACAAGAUCACAAUAAAAUAUCAGUUUCCGAUUCCUUGACUUGAAGAUAUGUUGGAUGUCCUAGGUGGCUCAGUAGUGUUCUCUAAAAUUGAUCUAAGAAGUGGAUAUCAUCAAAUUCGAAUCAAACCAGGCGAUGAAUGGAAGACGGCAUUCAAAAGCAAAGAUGGGCUCUAUGAAUGGUUAGUCAUGCCGUUUGGAUUAUCUAAUGCACCUAGUACUUUCAUGAGAGUGAUGAAUCAAGUCCUGAAGCCUUAUAUUGGGACGUGUGUGGUGGUAUACUUUGACGACAUACUAAUCUACAACAAGAGCAAGGAAGAACACUUGCAACAUCUGCGCAAAGUUCUUCAAGUUCUCUAAGAAAAUAAGUUGUACGUGAACUUGAAGAAGUGCAGCUUCAUGACCAAGAAGCUUAUGUUUUUGGGUUUUAUUGUUAGCUCAAAAGGUAUACAUGUUGACCAAGACAAGGUGAAAGCAAUUCAGGAAUGGCCUACACCUAAAACUGUUGGUGACGUACGAAGUUUUCAUGGAUUGGCAACCUUUUAUCGCCGCUUUGUGCUAAAUAUCAAUGCUUUCACUGCACCAAUAACCGAAUGUCUGAAGAAAGACAGAUUUCAAUGGGGUGAAGAAUAGGAAAAGAGCUCUGCCAUGAUUAAGUACAAGUUAAGCACAGCACCGGUACUAGCUUUGCCUGAUUUUGACAAGAUUUUUGAGGUAGAAACUGAUGCUUGUGGAGUAGGAAUAGGGGCUAUCUUAUCUCAAGAAAGAAAGCCAGUGGCGUAUUUUAUUGAGAAGCUUAAUGAAGCUAGGCAAAAGUGGAGUACAUACGACCAGGAGUUCUAUGCGGUUGUUUGUGCCUUGAAGUAAUGGGAGCAUUAUCUAGUGCAGAGGGAAUUUGUGCUAUACACCGACCAUCAAGCCUUGAAAUAUAUCAACAGUCAAAGAAGUGUGAACAAAAUGCAUAUCCGGUGGGUUACUUUCCUACAAAAGUUCCCUUUUGUGAUCAAAUACAAGUGUAGAACACUUAACCGUGUUGCAGAUGCGUUAAGUCGAAGAAGCCAACUAUUGGUUACACUUUCUCAAGAGGUUAUUGGGUUUGAAUUUUUGAAAGAGUUUUAUGAGGAAGAUGAAGACUUCAAAGAAAUUUGGGCCAAGUGUGUGAAGCAAGAACCCUGCAACGACUUCUUCAUCAAAGAAGGGUAUCUUUUUCAAGGAAAUAGAAUAUGCAUACCAAGGUCUUCACUUAGAGAGAUGUUGAUUCGAGAAUUACAUGGAGGUGGCUUAAGUGGACAUCUAGGUAGGGAGACAACUAUAGCGAGUCUGGAGGAGAGAUAUUAUUGGCCUCAGCUGAAACGAGAAGUGGGAAACAUCGUCCGUAAGUGUUACAUCUGCCAAUCUUCUAAGGGACGAUCUUGAAAUACAGGACUCUAUACGCCUCUGCCAGUACCUAAGGGAAUUUGGGAAGACCUCACCAUGGACUUCAUAUUAGGGUUACCUCAGACACAACAAGGAGUUGACUCUAUAUUUGUGGUAGUGGAUAGGUUUUCAAAGAUGGCACACUUCAUACCAUGUAAGAAGACAUCUGACGCUUCUCACAUUGCAAGAUUGUUCUUUAAAGAAGUGGUCUGUUUGCAUGGAAGUGCCUCAGUCUAUUACUUCUGAUCGAGACCCCAAGUUUCUAAGCCAUUUUUGGAUUACUUUGUGGAAGAUAUUUGGGACUACGCUCAAUCGAAGCAUUACCGCUCAUCCACAAACCGAUGGACAGACCGAAGUUACUAAUAGAACAUUGGGGAAUAUGAUUCAGAGUACUUGUGGAGACAAGCCAAAGCAGUGGGAUGUUGUUUUGCCUCAGGUUAAGUUUGCCUAUAACAGUUCAGUUCACAGCUCUAUUGGAAGGACACCAUUUUCAGUGGUGUAUGUUUCACCUCCUAAACUUGUGGUUGACUUGGCUUAUGUUCCAAAGGGUAAGGAUUUUAGUGAAGCGGCUACGUCAAUGGCAAGAGAAGUGCAGGGAGUCCAAGAUGAGGUUAAGCAGAAACUGAAAGUUACUAAUGAGAGGUACAAGGCUAUUGCAGAUUCUCAUCGGAGUGAGAAGAUUAACGAAGGAGACACUGUGAUGAUUUUCUUACGAAAAGAAAGGUUUCCUAUUGGCACCUACAGCAAGCUCAAGCCCAGGAAGGAUGGACCGUACAAAAUUAUCAAGAAAAUCAAUGACAAUGCAUAAGUCAUUGAUCUGCCAGAUACUAUGGGAAUAUCCAAGACCUUCAACGUUAGUGACAUACAUGCCUACCAAGCUGAUGAUGAUGACGUUUUCUAUCCUGACAUAUACUCGAGGUCGAGUUCUUCUAAAGUGGAGGAGACUGAUAUAGAACAGCUUGCGCAAACAUUUGAGACACAUCUUAAUAGGAAGACAAAGAAAACAAAGUCAAAGCAGCAGCUUUGAAUCUGCAAAGCAGUAGCUUUGUUCCUGUCAAGACCCACCCAGAAUUUCACCCUGAAACCCGAAGUAAAUCCUGCGGGGACCACCUCCAAGGAAAGUUUACCAAAAAUUCGACAUAACAUCUCUUGAAAAUGGACAACCCUUUCUAUUAAUACAUGCAUACACUUCUGAAAAUCCAAAUCCAACCUUAAACUCUUGGAGCCUUCGUGCUCCCCAAAACACAACAUCUCCCAAUUUAUUUACUAACUCUAACAAUGGAAGCUGGGUUGGAGGCCGACCGAACGGGACCGGUGCGGUGGCGGUUGGUGGCCGGACGGCGGUGAACGGUCGGGUUGAAGUUCCGGCAGGGUGAUGGCUCGAGAGGAAAACCGGGAGAGAGAAAGAGAAAAGAAAGAGAGGGAGAUGGGUUUGGGCCUCUCCAAACCGGUCCAACACCUAUAUACCCACACCAACUCCAAAAUAAAACACCCCGAAAAAUAAAUACCCUAAUAAAAAUUACCUUUUACUAGCUAAAAUUUACCAAUUUUACCAUCGUCAUAUUUUUCUCCUAUGAAGAAUUCUCCGAAAUAAUCGUCCCUCAAAACCCCUCUAGGGACCAAUUAAACCAUAACUUAUUGACGGAGACGGUAAAAUUCUUAUUAAUACCAAGCUAGUAAAUAAGGUAAAAUUUUAAGGGUCGGGAUGUGACAAUUCUUCCCUCAUAAAAAUUUCGUUCUCGAAAUUUACAUACCUAACAAUCAAAGAGAUAGAAAUACUGCUGCCUCAUUUGCUGCUCUAACUCCCAAGUAGCUUCCUCUACUUGAUGACUUCUCCAAAGCACCCUGACAAAUGGGAUUGACUUGUUCCUAAACAUUUGCUCCUUUCGGUCAAGAACCUGUACCGGCUCCACAUCAUAAGUCAAAUCCUUCUUCAAACUAAUUGGCUGCUCUUGCAACACAUGAGAGGGAUCAACAAUAAACUUGCGAAACAUGCAUGGAUAUAUGAAACACAUUAUGUAUCUUGGAUAACUCCGGAGGCAAAACUAACCGAUACGCAAGAGAGCCAACUUGAUCUUAAAACCCAUAAGGACCAAUAAAUCUCGGACCAAGCUUUUCACGUUACCAAAACGUACCACCCCUUUCCAAGGAGACAAUUUUGAAAACACCCAAACACUCACUUGAAACUCAUGGUCCUUCCCGCGGACAUCUUUAAAACUCUUCUGGCUACUAAGAGCUGCCUUGAGUCUAUCUCUGACUCCUUUAACCUUUUCAUUUGAAUCCUGAAUUAUUUUAAAUCUUCUCGAAGACUCUAAAUCAUUCAUUGAACUACCACUAAGGUAUGCACACUCUUUCUUGAGCAAUGGAAAUAGUUAACCCAAAUAAAACGCAUACAUUUACUAUCACCAUCGGGCUAAAAUCUCCUAACAUCACGUAACAACCUCGUCAUUACGCUGCUCACAAACUCAACAAUGAAGCCCACUUGCAAGGAAACUAAAGUUCAAGUUCACGCACUCCCACAUGCUCAUAGGGGUCAAAAUUAAGACCUGCUAAUUGAACAUAUUUAAGGAUGCACACACUGCAUAACUGUAACAAUCACUUCUAAUACCGAGACACUUCGCAGAGUCUUUCGCGGAGUCAAAGCUCUCGCAAGUCCACAAGACAACCUUGCUCUGCCUAAGUGACCAGUCCACCAACAGAUGAUAACCUCGAUUCUCGAAAUGACAUUAUGAAAAGAUCAAUACCACGUCACUUAGGUCUCUCCACCAAAACUAUUACAUUACCAUUUUAUGCACCACAAACUAGCAGCUUAUGGGAAUUCCAACUCUCUCCUGAUUCUGCUAUCUCCACUAUUCUCUUUACCACAAACCAGAAGAUAAUCUGAAGCAUGACUAUCAUGUGGAAAUUGGAUAUUCCUCCUUGCUCGCCAUAAACAAAAAUGACAAAUAAUGCCCACGAAGAUUGGCACAGUCAAUUCAUGAUGCCAAACUUGACGUUGAAAUCCACAUAAAUAGAACACCUUCCUUAAGCAUUGACAAAAUUUACAUCUCCAGCCAUGCUACUUAUUCGGGUGCAAUCGCGACCCCAAGAGCAACAUUUAAAAACACACGGCUCACUCUAGCCAUUCCACAAUAAUGAUUCUAAAUGCCAAAACCUUUGAACCCGACAAACACACCUCUUUUUCUACCUCUAACAACAAUAAAUCUGAUAGCAGAAAACAAUCUGUAAAUCAGACAUGCUCAAGUCUCCUACACCUUCCAGGGCCACGGCUUCCCACCAAAAAGAUUCUUCGAUAACCGAGCUUGCAAUAACAUGCGACUAACAAAAGCAAAGAUACAUUUUUUUAUACAAGACCCACUACUACACCUUGUGGUUCACCAACCAACCAUGAAUUCAAGCAAGAAUCAAAACUCAUGGCUAAACUCAGCUCAAGUUCCAGAAGAAAUAACCUAAAGCACACGAAAGGCAAGUCCUCUAACUUCGAGCUCAAAAGCUCCACAAAUCUCCGAUAUUCGCCAGAACCCGUUUCAAAAUCGCACUAGAAACCUCAACUAAUCAUCCUGACACCAACGGAUGUACGCACAACCAAAAAGCGAAGACCUCCCAAAUCAAACUUGGAUCAAUGAGUGGUCCCACCACAAAACGAUCCCGAGAAGAGACGUUGAUUAACCUAUCCAUAUAUCUACUACUCACAAAUUAAAUCUCUUAAUAAACCUUGACUCGAAAUGCUUCUUGAGUCAACAGGGGAAAACCCUCUUCCAAUAGGCUACACAUAAAAAAAAAUAUACCUACAACGACACAAACCAUUUAUUCAACAUCACCACGCAACUCACAAACUACCCCACAGGACUUACGGCUCAAAGAUUCAUCGCUUAAUUGAACUCUAGCUCACUUGGGAUCACCACUGGAUAUAUCCCUAAUCCACGACUACGACACAAAUACCAGUUUAACAUUUACCUCAAAACUUCGACAAAAUAACCAGAAUCUCUAACCUUCAAAUCGUAGCGUUGAAUUCGUACUCCAUAAAUUUCAAGCUCUGAGGAUGCUACCCAAAAACUACAGUAGGAAUAAUUUAUAUAUUCCCACACACACCACAACCAAAAACUCUGCUCCAUCUCACCAAAUUAGAAAUAAGGUGAGUGAACAGAUCCUCCCAGUGAGGUGUCGUAGCUAGUCACCAAGAGCUAACGAAGUGAUGUCAAUAAACCAACUUCGAUCACAAAUUCAAGACUUAAAUCAGCCACCCGGAACGACACUGCUAAAAAAAAAAAUUACUUUGGACACCCACGCACUCUUGCUCUAUGAUCCAGUGUGUUUUAUUCCACUGCUACCACUUCCACAAACUCCACACAACUGCUAUAGAAUACCUAUGACAACACGUAAUAAAUUCACCAGGUGUUGUUGUAAAACUGGAGUGACCACAACCAUCCCACUCUCACUCCACCAUUGCUUUUCAAUUCCAUCUAAAUUUAUCAUCUUCCCAAAACACUCAACAAAACUAGAAACCAAACUUCAACACCUAGAAUUCCGAAAGAAUCCAUACUGGCCCCACGAUUAAAAUAAUAUAACCGUCACUUCAUAAUUCCAAACUUGCUUGAAACUCAAAACAUUUAGUGCCACCAAUCAAUUUCUAAAAUUCCCCGACUGCGGCACAACAACAAGUUGUCACAACGCACUGACCAAUGACUUUUGUAAGGCCAACAAUCCAAAGAAUUUUAAUCUUGGAGUCAAUAUGUUGAACAUCUCAACUAACUUCAACUAAUCCAUCUUUUAGACGAAAGUCAUCAAAAAUCUUACUAUUCAUCGACUGCUAUUAACCUCCUUCUCCAAAAUGCUCUAAUUAUACUCUUUAAUAUGAUGAUUCCAAGGAUAAGAACAUAUCCUUAAUUAGAGCUAUAUGGCCAGAACAUGCGCCACCAUAACAAGCAUUAACCACAAAAAUCCCAACUGACUUUCGCUGCGGAGAAAGCAGUUGAAAUUUGGUCAUCAAUCCAGACUUCUCUAAAUUGAUAGCCUUUUUAUUAGCCACAAAUCCCCCGUGACUAAUUAGCCCAAAAUUAAAGUCAUCAACAACUUGAAUAGGUACCUCUUUGAAUUACUAUGGGUACCUCACCACAUCACUUCAACUAACCUUUACAUCUAUAUAUAGAAAUACACUACUUCGAACUUUUCUUCUAACUCUUUGCUCCAGAAACCACGUAACUCGAUGCCAAGAUUUUCCAGACUACUACAACUUCACACUUCCCCACUAUAACUAGUGAACUCCAAGGCUUGAGUUAAACUUUUCACCUUCUACCCAUUCGCACGAGAUGCUCACCCUAACAUCUUAAUCAUAACCCAAACAAUCAUUGAUCACAUGAAAGGAAUGCUGCCACGCAUAUGAGUUCUCAUCUCGUACUUGAACGCUAACAAUUUAUGAUAUCAACUCGAUAACCCUUGAAAAAGGCAUAAACCAAACACCUCCUUCCCUAAUCAAAGCAGGAUGAUCACUUCAGAGGUCAGCAUACGGAGGCAUAGUCUUGAAGAUAUACACAUUUAUGGACAAUACUAUCCAUAGAUAAGAUAGGAACAACUACAUCACAAACCUAAUCAACACAUAGUGUCUAAAACAUAUAAUGCUAAUAGAUCCACCGCGAUCGGACCAUCACUCUAUAGACACUAAGUAUGACCAAGAAUAUGAGGUAGUACUAAAAAGAGAAAGGAAUCGAAUAUCCUAGUGACCCACCCCGAAUUUCACCCUGAAACCCGAAGUAAAUCCUGCGGGGACCACUUCCAAGGAAAGUUUACAAAAAAUUCGACAUAAUCUCCCUUGAAAAUGGACAACCCUUUCUAAUAAUACAUGCAUACACUUCUGAAAAUCCAAAUCCAACCUUAAACUCUUGGAGCCUUCGUGCUCCCCAAAACACAACAUCUCCCAAUUUAUUUACUAACUCUAACAAUUUAAUCUCAUAAUCAACAACCACAGUUCAGAACAACUCUAUUUGAAAGGAGAUGAACUAGAAAUAUACUGAGCGGAAGCUAUACUAUUGACUAUGCCUCUUCUCCAUGUACGCCCGACCUCAACUAUGCAAUCCUACAAACUGGGCAUUUUUAAAACGAAGAGCCUAGGGGAAAACAUUUGAAAACACGUUAGAGUGAGUGGACAAAAAUAAAUUAACGAAUAAAAUAUUUAUGUUUUCCCAAAUCAAUUUCCAAGGAAAAUCGAAUGCAUGCUGCAAGCGAUAAAACUUUUAUCUCAUAAAUAUCGAGCCUCUCAGGCUCUAUAAUAUAUGUAUGUAUUUACAUACGUCCAUACUCCCUAUAUAAAUUCAUGGGUCUAUAUAGGGCUACUACGCUCGCGUCCAACGCUCACGUCACGCCUUAAUGCGGUGUUACACUAUGCCAUUAAGGUGGACAGACAGGUGUAUAAAUAUGUGCCCAUACCCCCUAUAUGAAUUAUACACUCAUAUAGGGCUACUACGCUCGCGUCCAACGCUCACGUCACACCAUAAUGCGGCUAUAUGCUACGCCAUUAAGGUGGACAGACACAUAGGGCUAGCUAGCUGUUAUAUACAUACUCUUUGAUAAUUACAUAUUUAUUUCGGUAACUCUUCAAGAGAAAUAAAAUGGUCAAAAUUAAAAUGACGUCAAAAUGCUCCACAACAUUAAUUGUUCAUUCAUGAACCAUAGCAUGCAUAUUAAUUAAAACAAAAGUCCACUCACAACUUUAGGCAUAAGCCCGACGAAAUCCAAAUCGCCACUCCAGUGAGGUUUCCUCGAACCCUGGCACAAAUAUAUAAUUAAUUUCCCAACUAAAAAUCCAAUAUUUAAACAAAAUAGGCAAGAUUAACCGAGAGCCAUACUCACACUCAUCAUUGCCUAACUUCGAUACGGUCCACACCUCAACACUAAAACCAGCAGCCUUAACUACACCCUUUCACAGAUUAUACAACUUUAAUCCAACGGCCGGAUUCUACCUUAUUAAUCCGCCAAAAUUACCAAACUUCGGAAAUUCACAAACCUAUCCAAAACUCAUCCAAAAAUUCCAUAAUUCAUAUCAAUAAACUCCCCUAAAUAUUCCACAUUUAAAACCAUAAAAAUCUCCCACACAGCGGCGGCCGGAGGCCGACUCCGGCGACCUCCAAUGCCUAUGAAAUUUUGACAGCAUCUUCCUCUCAACCCCCUCUACAACUUUCCUAACUAGUACAAACAUCAAUUCCAAGCCUAACUAGGUCAAUCGAGCAAAAACAUCCUGAAAGCCCUAGAAAAUUCAACUCCACAUUUCUCCUUACCUAGCUCAAGAGAGGAUGAGACCUUUGGAGGGGUUGCUGCAUGGGAGGAGGGCUCUCUUUUGAGCCAAGCAGGUCCAGCUAUGGCGGCCGAAUGAGGAAGUUCCGGCGAGAAAACCACAACAAGAGCAGGACCUUUCGGGGGUGAGAACUCCUUCACGGCGGAGCUAGGGCGGCUCUCACCGGCCUAGAAUGGAAGCUGGGUUGGAGGCCGACCGAACGGGACCGGUGCGGUGGCGGUUGGUGGCCGGACGGCGGUGAACGGUCGGGUUGAAGUUCCGGCAGGGUGAUGGCUCGAGAGGAAAACCGGGAGAGAGAAAGAGAAAAGAAAGAGAGGGAGAUGGGUUUGGGCCUCUCCAAACCGGUCCAACACCUAUAUACCCACACCAACUCCAAAAUAAAACACCCCGAAAAAUAAACACCCUAAUAAAAAUUACCUUUUACUAGCUAAAAUUUACCAUUUUUACCAUCGUCAUAUUUUUCUCCUACGAAUAAUUCUCCGAAAUAAUCGUCCCUCAAAACCCCUCUAGGGACCAAUUAAACCAUAACUUAUUAACGGAGACAGUAAAAUUCUUAUUAAUACCAAGCUAGUAAAUAAGGUAAAAAUUUAAGAGUCGGGAUGUGACAGUUCCUGCAUAUUUUCUAUCAGCAUUAGGAUUACUUUACUUUCUAUGUUUUCAUUAGGAUUUAAGUUUUAUUUAGAAUAAAGGAUUCCUAGUAAUUAAGUUUAUUUCUAUGCCUAUAUAAGGCCCUUGCUAGAUUGUAUUUUAAUUCAAGUUAUCAAUAAGAAAACCCAAAAAAAAAAAAUUAGAGUAGAAACUCUUGUGUUUUAGGCUUGUGCCUGUGUUUCGCUAGUGGAUUCUAGCUUAUUCCCUUACGGUUUCGACGCUUGACGAAACCUUAUUUCUAUCGUGAUUACGUUUGACUUCAAAAACACGAUAUUAGUUUUGCUAUUUUAUUUCUAGUAAUUUCCUAUGUACUUAUUACGUCUUGGGGCUUUUUUUUUUUUUUUUUUUUUUUUUUUGAAAGGAAGAAAGCUAGGCAUUGUAUGUGCUUCUAUGAGCCAGAGGUUUGAUAUAUACUGUAGAUGGUCUAUCCUACAUAUCACUGUAAUGUUUUUCGUUGUGAAGCCUUGUCUGUCAAUUGAGUGGCAGCGGAUGGAUAGGCGAUGAGCAUCUAAUGAAAUUGAUUAUUAUUUUAUUCAGAAAAACAAAACACCUCUUAGGGUCAUCUAAGGCUAUUUUUUUUUGUCAGAAAUUUGGUUUUUUUUAAAAAAAAUUGUUAAAAUUUUUGUAGGAUCAUUUCACCCCCUUCUGGCCUCUAGCUACCCCCAUGAAUCCAACACAGUCAACACUGCUGAAGGCUCACGUCUAGUCUUGAUACAAUCAACCUUGCCAAAUGGGGCCAAAAUAUGAUUGAUUAGAAUUGUAAUACUCCAUUAGUUACGGAUCCAGAGCCUCUAGCAGUCUAGCUGAUGUUUUUGACUGUGUCAUACUCUUAUAAUAGCUCCCAAGAAAUGUCUUCGGGGAGCUAUUCCAUAGAUAGCAAGCCUGCUCUCUGUGCCCCGAGAAAACAAGAAGAAAACGAAGGAAAAAGCAGAAAAAAUAUAUAUAUAAAAAUUGAUCAACCUAUCCGUCCUAACUGAAUUAUUGAAUCUCAAAAACAUUAUAGAGCCGGUAAGCCUUUUCGAUCGUCAUUUCAAUCUGAUCAUCUUUUAUUUUUGUGUCAGUGCGCGCCUAGGAAUUUAACCGUGCUAUCCUCUCUAUUUGUGCAUUUCAUGGCUGUAGACGAAGAAAAAAAGAAUGGAAGCAAAAGUAAGAGAGCUUAGCAAACUGUCAGAAGAGAUGGUGGUGCCAAUUCUAACAAGGUUGUCUCCCAAAUCUCUGAUGCGAUUCAAGUGCGUACACAAGUCGUGGUAUAAUCUUAUCAACAAUCCCAGCUUCGUAGACAAGCACAUCAUGACCUCCGAUCGCAACAACCACUCCACAUCCAUCCUUUGCAAGCGUUUUAUCCUCAAGGAUGUCAGCUCUGAAGAGAAGGAAAUUGUAUACUCAUUGAUAACUUUUUACAAUGAUAAUUCUGGUGAUGAGCAUAUCACUGUCGAAGACAUAGACAUUCCAAGUUCUAUGGGUGUAUCGACGAGAGGCCAAUUUGUUGGGAAUGAGCUUGAAGCAGUAUUUCGUAUUGAUAAAGGACAUUGUCAAGGGCUUAUUUGUCUCUCUGAUGCUUGGAACACUAUUUUAUGGAAUCCAGCAACCAAAGAAUUCAAGGUUCUUCCCCAGUCAUGCAUUCCGGAUGCGAACAUGAAUUGUGUAGGAUUUGGGUAUGACCCCAAAUCUAAAGAUUACAAAGUUGUCAGUAUUAGACAAGACGAACUAGGAAAUGAAGAUGCCCGUAUUGUUAUUUAUCCUCCUAGGGUAGAAGUAUAUACGUUGGGAACGGAUUCGUGGAGAGAAAUCAAGACAUAUAAUCUAGAGAGAGAAGUUACAAACUUGUGGCCGGAAUCCUUCCAAUUGUACUACAAGGGAUUCUGUUAUUGGAUUGGACGUGAACAACGAAAGGAAUUUCUCUCCCAAUAUGCUAUAGUUGAAGGUGAAGAUGAAUGGGUUCGGUAUAUGAUCACUUUCUUUGAUACCACUAAUGAAGUAUUUGAUCACAUACUACUUCCGAAUUGCUUAUACCAACAAGAAGAGCAGUUUUCUGAUAUGCACGUUAUUGUGUGGAAAGAAACCACAGCUCUCUUUGGUUCGUACCGAAUUGGUGGUCCGGAUGCAUAUGGGUUAUGGGUAAUGGAUAAUCUGGGUUGCGUUGAGGUUUCUUGGACAAAACACGUAACCUUAGAAGUUGUAGAAGGAAUUAAGAAGGAUUUGGAAUUCUGGAAGAGUGAUGAGAUACUUAUGAUCGCCACAGAUGGACGUAUAGCCUCAUACAAUAUUAGUACCAAAAAGAUUAAUUAUCUUUCCAUUGAUAGUAUCUAUCCAGAGUACUCUGAAGCUGUUGUUUGUUUGAACAGUAUAGUUUCCAUAAAUAGAAGGCAAUAAGCUUAAUACCUACUAGAGUUAUGUUAGAGAUCUUUUAUGUUUUGUCGAAUGUGUUCAGCUAUACAGCUCAAAAAAGCUCCAACAAAGUCGAAGCGAGAAACCUAGAAAGUAGAAACAACCAGACUUUCCCAUGCCCGUCUGGCGGCGCGUCCACGGGAUGUUGUUGUCGGACGGGUGACUCGUUUAGUCGUUUAUCUUAGUCCAUCAGGCGAGCUACAUCAAGAUUGGGGCCAAAGCAGGAGGCUAGGAACACAAGCGUCGACUGCGUCGUGUUCGGGAGGAUUAGGAUUGCAGAGGCGUGCCUCAUUGUUCGUUUCCGAUCGCAUUUCAGCGGAGAAUACGAGAAAGGGGGAAGCCGCGAUUAAAUGCUUGUGUUUGGUCGGGGCGAUAAUACUAAGGCGGAUUGUCGUAGUUGUUGCCCUUGUCUUGAGGAGUAGGAAAGCUGAUGGUCGGAGUAUGUAGUGGUUCUGGUUUCGAGUUGAGAUCAGGAUCCAAGGAGAUCCGGUUGACAAAGUCAGUUGGCGGCCAAGUGAUGCGACGUGAUCCGCUUGAGGCCGAGGUGCAGUCCCGAUGUGGGCAAAAUCCAACCCUUACGGUGAAUUGUUUAAUUGGGUUUCAAGGCUUUUGGGCCUGUCCUAGGCUGCUGGACUUUUUCUAGUGGGCAAAAUUUUCAUAUUCUUAAGUUUUUAGCCCAAAUAGGGCACAUAUGUUUUUAUCUUAUGUUGUUUAUUAGAUUUUAGGGAAAAUGACCAAAUGCACAAAAACAGCUAAACUAAAGCCAUCCUAAUGAAAAAAGUUUAUCAUAGCUCAUUCCAAUAAAUCUAAAUAAAAAGAUGACUAUAUCCCUAUUCUAAAUUAUUUACACUAACCACCAUAUCAAAUCUAAACAACUCUCUCUCUCUCUCNNNNNNNNNNNNNNNNNNNNCUCUCUCUCUCUCUCUCUCUCUCUCUCUCUCUCUCUCUCUCUCUCUCUCUCUCUCUCUCUCUCUCUCUCUCUCUCUCUCUCUCUCUCUCUCUCUCUCUCUCUCUCUCCGGCAAACGCCGUCUCCUCUCUCAUCGCACCGCCGAGCCACAACUCUCUCUUUCUCCGGCCGAUGCCGUCUCCUCUCUCGUCGCACCGCCGAGCCACGAGACAUUGUCAUCUUCGUGAGCAGGACCUCUUUCUCGGGCGACGACACAGAUACGAAGACGCAUGGCGGCUGCCGUCCGUUGUCGAUCGUCGAUCGCGCCUUCUGCUUUCGUCUCCGCCAGGCUAGCUCUCUGUGAAUCGGGAAAUGGCGUUGCCGGUGCCCUCUGAGCACGACGAGGCUCAGUCGUUGCUGUGAGAUUUUGGCGAUGUCAACGAGUGAUGACUCGUGACGAUUGAACUCUAAGAGCUUCCAGGUGGCCUCGGAGCACAAGGAGAAGCCACCGCGGGCCUUCAAUGACUCAAAUUAAAGAAAUCUCUUGUUCCAUGUAUGUCAUCUAUUUAAAGUAGUGGUUAAUAGAUCUUUGACUCUUCCAUUUGUAUAGUUUGAAAUGAUUAUAUUAUGUCGUGAGUUUUGGUCUAUGAGAAUAGUUUGUUUUGUGGCUGUUAAACAAGUCAAUUAAUUUGUGGUGUGGAGUUUGUUUUCUUGGCUUUGUAAUUCUAGUGGUGGAUUGAGUUUUGAAUUUUUGCUGUGUCAAAAAAACACUUGGGAGGUAUUGACGGGGAGCUAGCUAACUGAGUCUGUUAGCUAUAUAUUGUAAUUGAGGAUUUCUAUGAGUUUGCAGUACAAAGAAGACUAUAAAUGUGCGAAUUUAAUAUGCUGUUUUGUUUUGCAAAUUUUUAGUUUAGAAAUCAUAAUAAAGUGAUAUUUGAACAGAAAGUAUAUUUUAACAUGAUUAUUAGGGUCAGUUACAGAUUACUGGGUGUCAGUGACUCGAUUAUUGAGGGUCAGUAAUCGAUUACUGGGCGUCAGUAACUCGAUUACUGGGGUCAGUAAUCGAUUAUUGAGGGUCAGAAAUCGAUUACUGGGGUCAAUAAUCGAUUAUUGAGGAUCAGUAACUCGAGUUACUGGGGGUCAAUAGCCAUUUAGGGAAUCAUUACUCAAUUAUUGGGGGUCAGUAACUCAGUUCUGACGGUCGGUGACCAAAGUAACUCAGUUACUAGGGGUCAAUAACUAGUUACUGGGUGUCACUAACUGAUCAGUAACUAGUUAUUGGGGGUCAAUAACUGGUUACUGGGUGUCAGUAAUUGGUCACUAACUGGUUACUAGGGUUCAGUAACUGGUUAUUGGGGGUCAGUAACUGGUUACUGGGGAAAUUCAGAUGACCGGAGUCCGACGGUCGAGAAAUUCUGAUGACCGGAGUCCAGCGGCCGGUGACCGGAGUCCAGCGGCCGUUGACCGGAGUCCGACGGCUGGUGACCGGAGUCUAGUGAAGUUCCGGCCAAUUAUUCUCUUUCUUCCACUUUCUCUCUCUAUACAUGUUUAAGGGGUGAGGGUAAAAUAGUCUUAAAAUAAUAUGGUUUAUUAAGACUUUAGUAAAUAUUUAUGCAUUUGGGGCAUAAAAAUGGUUACCUUAUAUUGGAAUGGACUAAUGAAAAAGAUUAUCAUUAGAAUGAGAAAUGAAGGGUUUAAAUUAAUACUAAAUGGACAUUUUCCCUAGAUUUUAAUCAUGGUUGUUUAUUAGAUUUUAAUCAUUCACUACAUGCGAUAAAGAGAAGUGUGCGUUGUGCAAAUAUGGCACCUUGUGUGUCUUGACUGUCUUAGAUAAGUUGCGAGUUCUUUGCUUUGUGUAAUGGUAACAAGCUGAAACAUAAGAUCUCUAAAUAUGAUUCGAUGUGGUCAAAUAGUAGGAAAACUACACAAUUUGUUACGAUGCUUGUCCUCAGUACAUAUUUAUCUUUCUCUACAUAUUCUCUCUCUAGAGAAACUCUACAAAUGCAAUUAGUUUUUUUUACGACGGCUCGGAAAACUUCUUACCUCUCAGCAGUAAUGUGAUUUGGAUUAGGACCACAACGCUACCUUUAUUCUUUCUUUUUUCAUGGCAACGUUGAAUGUUGACGAGGCCACGAAAUUCAGAUCUGGUUAGUUGAUCUGGAUCGGAUUCCCCGGGGGCUCAUGACAGUGGUCUACCAGUCUGGGUGCUCGAUACAGGUCGGUUGAGUUGUUCCUGGGUAGUGGGAGCCUCUUAAGCGCGAAGGGGGUUUCUACUGGAUUGUGGGUGAUGCGAUCGGCGAUGGAGAUGAACGCUGAGAGCUGACGUCCAUGAUUGAAGCACGUGGGGUGGAGAAUGAGGUGGAGAUUGUGGCAGUCGAAAAUAAUUCAAAGACAAAGGUGCAUGAUCCCAUCGACUGUAGAGAAGUAAAAUUGGGUAAAAUUGUAAAGCAAAUAGAGUAAUCAAUGAAGCAAUUUUUGUUAAAUGGUAUUUGUUAAAAUGUAUAAAUUUUUUAGACAUGCUUAAUAUUAUUUUAGAGUGUUCUUAUAAUAUGAGGUUUAGACAUAAUAUUUCUUUUUAUAUUGUAAAAUUUAGUUAACAGUUAUAUCGUGAGGGCGACCGUUUUUAUCUUUAUAUUAAAACAGAAAGGUACAUAGUUUAAUACCUUUUCUUUUCAAUAAACUACAUAGCUUAAUACUUGAAAUUAAUAUUGGCGAGAUCUUAAUCUAAUUUAUAUGGUAAAAUAUAAUAGCUCCGGAGUCGUGGGGAUUUGAAACAAAUGGUUGGUCAGAAUAAAUGGCUGACUGUCUGGCCAACCAAAUUUGACUGCAAGCGAGCUUCUAUUGUUAGCAACAAUACUGUUUAUGAAUAUUACAUUUGAUUUUGAUGUAAUCUUCAGUCUUCAAAGCGACCACAACAAACCUAGACCCAAGACUUCGAAAUUCAUCAACCAACAUUCAUUAUUUCUCUUGGCCUCUUCAUGAUCAAAAUUCUAAGGUAAGAAUCUUCGUCAUUUUCCUCAAUAGAGAUAUGGAAAAUCUUAGGAAAUUGCACUCGUCUGAAGAUUUUGUGGAGCAAAUUCUAUCAAGACUGCCUCCCAAAUCUCUGAUGCGAUUUAAGUGUUUAUGUAAUUUGUGGUGCAAUUUAAUUGCAAGCCCUACUUUUGUAUGUAAACACCUCUCUAGUUCUAUCACUUCUAUGCAAGCAUCCUCUAGGCCACUCCUUUUCAAGCGCCCAAUCCUGAAGGACAAGGAUGAUAACAUCAUGGAUGAGAAGGAAAGUGUACAUGACGACAAUGUCAAAACUCUAUUAUCAUCUCUUAAUUUCUCCAAUAAAGAUGAUGAUGAUUACCUUCUAACAACUGUAAUUGAGGAUCUUAAUGUUCCACUUCCGGCUCCUCUAAAGCUAAAACAUCCUUCGGAUCUCACAAUAGCCGGUCAUUGUGAUGGAAUCAUCUGUUUAAAGCUUUUCAUUGGUAACAUUAUUUUAUGCAACCCGGCUAUGAAGGAAUUCAAGCUUCUUCCCAAGUCCUUUCUUCUUCUUCCCGAAGAUGACAUUAAUCGUUGGUCGCUGAAUUAUGAAUUAAGCUAUUACGAUGAAUAUUUAGGAUUUGGCUAUGAUCCCAAAUGUAAAGAUUAUAAGAUUGUUAGAUUCGUAAUCUAUGAAGAGUCAUGUUAUUGGUUCAAAGCAGAAGUAUACACUAUGAAUUCUAAUUCUUGGAGAGAGAUCAAGACCGACUAUAAUGAAAUGACUUCUUUUGUUAGUAAGUCUUCUGAUCUGCCAAUAUACUUGAAAGGAAAUUGUUAUUGGCACGUAUGUGGUUACCAUAUUUCAUGGGGGGACUUCAUUCUUUCAUUUGAUAUGGGCAACGAGCUAUUUCGUGAGAUAUCAAUUUCAGAUUUGCCAGAUGGAUGUAGAUUAGAGACACUUACAGUGUGGAAAGAGUUCAUUACUAUUUUGACCUAUCAAGAAGAAAUUGUAGUUUCUCAUUCUUUCGAUAUGUGGGUUUUGAUGUAUGAUGGUGAUGGCAAAGGUUCAUGGAUAAAACAUUUAACUAUAAGACCUGUGGAAGGUGAUACAUGUCCAUUGCUAUUUUGGAAAGGUGACCAACUUCUCUUGAUUAAUAAUAAUGAUGCACAUAUCGUCUUAUAUAACAUUGGCACACAAAUGUUGAAGUAUCUUCCUAUUCAAUGCAUGGGAAAUAUCAUAAAUAUUCAAGCAGUUGGUUAUGUAAAUAGUAUUGUUUCCAUCAACGGAGGCAACUUACUUGAAGAUACAUGUAUUUCUGCUUUCUAUGGCAGUGGUAAGUUUUGUUCCAGCUACAGAGAAGACGACGACAAUAACUCUGCGUUUGAUGGAAAUGACAAGUCAGAGCAAUAGAAGAAUUCUUCAAGACUAGAAAGAGUUUCAUGCGCUUUGCUGCAGGUUUUGUAACUGAUCGAUUGGCUGUGGUAGUGACGUGGUCCGGAUGGCGUCAAGGUGGCGGAGUCAUGUCAGAGUGCGGCGUUGAUCUCUAUGGGUGAUGCUAGAUUCUGUCGGCUGCCUUCUGUUAGAAGAUAAUUAAAAAAAUCUGUUUUAGCUAAUUAAUUGUGAUAAGCUUCAGUAAUCAAUCUGGCAGCUGUCAAGCACGUUGUGGCUCUCAUUUGUCUAAGUAGCUCUUCUAUCAGAUAUUAGAUAUUUGUUAUUUUGUAAUAAGCAGCUUAGGCAUUAUCCUAGCUGUAUAAAUACUAGUUCUCUUGUAUCUUUAUUUUAGAUUGUUCUGCAUUUUAUGAAAAGACUCUGAGAAAUUGCUUCAGGUUCUUCUCAUUUCUCUCUUACUAUUCAUAGUUUCAGAGGUUGAUUUAUCUGUUAGAGGUCAUUAAUGCCAUGUUAUCAACGCUGCCAGAGUUGUUAGGCUUCAGGAGGCUCUGGACCCUAGUAAGCAUAGUUUCCUCUUUGUUGACAAUGCAAUGCAGUAUGGCCUUUUCCACCACAUAUUUGACAUUUUACGAUCAUAGAAUGAUCAGACUAUUGGAGGAAUAUUGGAGGUAUGGUUGUGGUAUGCAAGAAUGGUUGUAUCCGAAUGAUACAUGGGUGUUGUGGUCUCCCAGAUCCGAGGAUACAUGGCUGCUGUGGUUUCUUUCCAGGCUUAUUGUUUACUGUUUAUAUGUAACUUGUAUAUGUUACUUUACUUGUAUAUGAGAGUUGUGUAUUAGAGAUUAGUUCAGUUUGAACUAAUCUAGUUUAAGUUGAUGUUAGAAGUGUGAGAUUGUGUGAGUGUAUGACAGCUAUGUAUGGGCUGUAUACAGCUGAGCUUCCGCAAAUCUUGUGUUUAGAUUUCUUCAUGGUAUCAGAGCAGGAACUCUAGUGUCCUGGCUCUGUUGCUCUUAUUCUUGUUCUUCCAAGAGAAAGUUCUCUUUGGUUUCUCAAGCUAUAGAUGGCUGAGAUCAGUUCAGGUAUUAAUCCUUUUGGUGAUAAUAUCAAUUCAAACACUUCAAGUGUUUCUGAUGUUGAGAUGAAUCCAAAUCAACGUCUUAGUUCUGUUUUGUUGAAUGAAUUCAACUACCCUGGUUGGGCUAGAGCAACUACUCUUGCUCUUGGAGGAAAAUCCAAGUUUGGCUAUGUUAAUGGAUCCAUACAGAAGCCAGAUGUUGGUUCUUCCUCUUAUGAUUCUUGGCUUUCCAAGGAUCAACUUGUUAUGUCUUGGUUGCUCAAUUCUAUGGAGAGCAAACUUUCAUAAAUUUUCAGUUUUUCUGAGUCUUCUAGGCAUCUUUGGGAUCAACUUAAAGAGAUGUAUGGGAAUCAAAAUAAUGAUGCUCGAGUGUUUCAACUCAAGCGAGACAUUUCAGAUUUACAACAAGAGGGUAAAUCCUUUGUACAACAUCUUGGUGGUCUCACAAGCAUGUGGAAUGAGCUUGAUGUUUAUAGGCCUCAUACUACAGAUGCUGCUACCUUAUUGAAAAGAGCUGAGGAAGACAAGAUAUUUCAGCUUCUUGCUAGUCUAAGUUUAGACUAUGAAGAUUUGAGAAGUCAUAUUCUUAUGAAUGCGGAGCUGCCAACUUUCACAUGUGUAUGUGCAACAAUUCAAAGAGAAGAGGUUCGAAGAAAGGUGAUGAACAUAGAGACCAAGCCAACUCUUUUGGAAACUAGAGCUUAUGUUUCAGACAGUAGGCAGGUUGAAGAAAAGACUUACAAAGGGAGGAGGCAUGUUUCGAAAUGUAGUUACUGUGAAGGUAUGGGACAUGUCAGGGAUAGAUGUUGGAUCCUCCAUCCUGAGCUAAAGCCAAAGCAUUUAAAAGAGAACAAAGGUGGUCACAAAAGUUGGAAUGGUCCAUCACACAGAGCAAAUCUUGCAACCUCUUCCUCUGAGGGUAUGCCUGACUUCACUUCCAAUCCAUCUACCUUGAUAAAUGAGUUCGCUGCUUUCCUCAACAAAAAACAGAUGCAGAAGAGGAGACCAGCAGCUGUAUACAGCCCAUACAUAGCUGUCAUACACUCACACAAUCUCACACUUCUAACAUCAACUUAAACUAGAUUAGUUCAAACUGAACUAAUCUCUAAUACACAACUCUCAUAUACAAGUAAAGUAACAUAUACAAGUUACAUAUAAACAGUAAACAAUAAGCCUGGAAGGAGACCACAGCAUCCAUGUAUCCUCGGAUCAGGGAGACCACAACACCCAUGUAUCAUUCGGAUACAACCAUUCUUGCAUACCACAGCCAUACCUCCAAUAUUCCUCCAAUACUCCCCCUCAAGCGAGAUCGAGGAGAAGCCUUGAGCGAAGCUUGCCAAAAUAUUCGAUAAAAUUUACAACUCCAUGUGGAACACAAACCAGCUUUUGCAAAAAAAUUCCCAGAAAUUCAUCUAAGGAUGGCAGAUAACUCAUGUAUCCUCCACAUGCUGAUAGGACUGCCAAGGUGUUGCCCAGAAGACUUCCUUCUUGUUCUUCACCUCCACAGAACUUAAACUCCAAUAGGCCAACACCGAAAAGAGAAGAAAAAAAAAAAGAAAAAAAGAAAAAAGGACAAUAGAUCUCUCUUCCAAAUCAAAAAGAAGAAAUCAACAGCCAAAAGAUAAAGAUUUUUUUGUAUACAGCCACAGCUCUACUGCCUUGUUUCUUGUUCAUUUAGGUUAGUCUUGUGUGUAUAAGAGAUGUAUGGGUGAUGAAGUGUGUUCCUCACCCAACUUCUUCUAUAUAUAGUUUAGUGUUGUAAACUUAUUAUUUACCAAGAAGAAAUAUCAGAAAAGCUUCCGCAACUUUGUCUUUGGUUUUUCUACACAGACAUAGAAGAUUGAUUCUGAGUCAUCAAAGGACAAUUAACUGCAGUUUGACCUCUCUUAUUACACAAUUGACAUUCAGGAGAAAUAGUGUUCAUAGUAACUCCAUUGAUAUCUCGUGAUGCUCGAGGCCUAUAAAAUGGAGAAGCAGGAUUAUUCUACUUGCAAUGUGUCCCUUCCUGUUACAGAAAGAGCAUAUCGCAUUCUGAAAGCAUUCUGAAGCAACAUGUCAUUUUCUGUCACAAAUUUGACAAGCAGUACCACCUCCAGCUAAACCAAAAUUCUUAUAUCCUUCAUUAUUAGAAUUACUGUCACCUCCAAAAUUCUUAUACCCACCAUUACUACUUCCAUUAUACCCUUCAUUAGUACCUCCUCCACUGCUGCCAUUGUACCCUCCACCAGAACCCCCAAAACUCUUAUAUCCUCCUCCAGAAUCUCCAAGUCCACUAUCUCCAUUCUAGGUACCCUUUCCCUUGUCAUUGAAGUAAUUAGAACUACCCUUAUAUGAACUACCCCGAGCUGACAUACCAAUCAUAGAACCUAGAGGUGAAAGAGAAAAAUGGGACUCUAUAUCUCUCUCAGCAGCAAUGAGUUGAGCCCUAAAGUCCUUGAGAGAGAUAGGAGUAUCUCGAGCUCUGACCACUGUCUUUAUCAUGGAGUAUUCCUCAUGUAAACCAUUUAGAGUUACAAUUAUAAUAUCCUCAUCCACAAUAUGAACUCCUAUAGAUCCCAACUGAUCUCUAGCAUGCUUAAUACAAAGGAGAUAUUUAUCAAUCGAGUCUGCUCCCUUCUUAACUGUCUGUAAUUCAGUCUUUAGUUGCAUAAUGUUGGCUCUAAAAUCAGUUGAAAACUGUUCCAGCAAUGCACUCCAUGCCUCAUAAGCUGAUCUGCUUCCCACUAUUACAUCCAUUAUAUCAUCAUCAAGAGUAGCCAUCAGAAGACCUAAUAAGGCUUUGUCACACAUCUUCCAUUGCUUGUAGGCUGAUGUUAUUUUAUUAGUCACAAUACCAUCUUCUGAGAGAGCAUAUCUUGGAGGACAUGAAUAUGUACCAUCAAAGUUAUAGAAAAGAUCAUUCCCUUCCAAAACUGACUAAAACUGAUAGCUCCACUUAACAAAAUUUGCUUCACUAAGCUUUACUGUUAUCAUACUCAAUAAUGAAUUAAUCUCAGAUUGAGUUGCAAAAGGAGACUUGACAAGACCCACCUCGAAUUUUACCCUACAACCCGGGGUAAAUCCUGCGGGGACCACCUCCAAGGAAGAUAUUACCGAAAAUUCGGCAUAACCUCUCUUGAAAAUGGACAACCCUUUCUAAAAAAAACCUGCAAACAUUUCUAAAAUUCUCAAUCCACCCUUAACUUCUGGAGCCUACGUGCUCCCCAACACAACCACCACCAAGAAUAAUAAAUCAUCUUCCAAAUCAACACAUAAUUAUCCAAAUAAAAUAACAUAUAUACAACCUCCGAUAAAUAUUCUAAAAUGUCAACAAGCUUUCGCCCACAACCGAAAUAAUAUACAUUAAACCCAAGGGAAAAUCAGAACUACUAGACACUAGAGGAAGCAAGAAAAACACAGGUAGGUUAAACAGGUAACCUACGGAUGAAAGGUGGUGGAAAUGCGGGUGACUAUGCCUCGUCUCGUACUAGGUCCAACCCGUACUCUGCAGACUGGACAUUUUAAAACGAAGAGCCUAGGGGAGAACAUUUAAUAACGUUAGAGUGAGUGGACAAAAAUAAAUUAUUAAAAAUAUUUAUGCAUUCCCAUUUUAAUUUCCAAAGAAAAUAUACUGCAUACGGCAGCUCAAAAGCGCUCAACUCAUAAACUGGCAAUUUCAUCAAAUAAAAUGGAGCCUCUCAGGCUAAACUAUAUAUAAACAUAUAGGCAUAUGUAUUUACACUCGUCAGACUCCUUGUAUGAAUCCUAUGAACAAAUUAGAAAAAUAGAAAUUCAUACAAGGCUACGACGCUUGCGUCUAACGCUCACGUCGCGCCAUAAUGGAAUUUUUCCUCAUUAUGACCGAAGAGGACGGUGUAUUUAUAUACGUGUGGAAUCCCUAUAUGAAAACCUAAAUAAAACAGAAAACAAAGUAGUUUUCAUAUAGGGCUAUGACGCUUGUGUCUAACACUCACGUCACGCCAUAAUGACAUUUUACCUCAUUAUGACGGACCAAGCACGUAGGGCUAGCUAGCAUUUAUAUACAUACUAUACUCAUAAUAUUCAAUAAACAUAUCCACUGAAAAUCUCAUUUUCGGGAUCUCUCCAAAGGAGGAAAAUUGUCAAAUAUCCGAGAAAGAAAUAAAUCUCAGGAAAAGAAAUAAAUGAUCAACAAGAUAAUUCAUCGCAUGCUUUUCAAUUAAAACAAAGGUCCACUCACAAAUUAGGCCUAAGCCUGAUGUCGCUCCGAGGCUUCUUCUGCUUGGGCUUCCUCUCGUCCUGAACCAAAUAUACAAUUAAUUUCCCAACUAAAUAUCUAAUAUUUAAACAAAAUGGGCAAAAUUAAACGUGAGCCUCCCACACACUCAUCAUUGCCCAACUUCGUCAUUCUUAACUCAAAAUGGCUCAAACUUCACCGAACAUACCGGGCUACCGGCAGCCUUAAUUCAACUUUUUACAGAAAAUGACUUAAAUCCUACGGCCGGAUUCUACAUUAUUCAACCGCCAAAAAUACCACACUUCGGAAAAUCACAAACCUAUCCAAAUCUCAUCCGAAAAUUCCAUAAUUCACAUCAAUAAACUCCCCUUAAUAUUUCACACUUAAAACUAUACAAAACUCCCAAACAGCGGCGGCCGGAGGCCGAUUCCGGCGACCUCCAAUGCCUAUGAAAUUUUGAUAGAAUAAUCCUCUCAUCAUGCUCUACAACUUUCCUAACUAGCACAAACCCAAAAUCUAAGCCUAGCUAUGCCAAUCGAGCAGAAACAUCAAAAACGCCUUAGAACUUCCACCUCAGAUUUCUCCUUACCUGAAGCGAACCGGAGUGAGUUCUUUUAGGGCAAGGCAGCUGGGUUGGAGACCUACAAAACCGUAUAAGGCUUGCCCGGAUUGGUGGCCGGAGGAGGGAGCUCCGGCGAGAACACAGUCGGUCCUUCGGGACAAGUUUCCUUCCGCUUGGCAGUGAUGUGGCAGCGCUCACCGGCCAAGGAAGAGAGAGGAAGCGACGCCAGUCCAAACAGGACAGGUGCGGCAGCCUUGCUCAGCCAGACGACGGCGGCGGGCACUGGUUUUUCGGCGAAGGGAGAGAGAGCUCGGGAGGGAGAACCGGGAGGAAGAGAAGGAAAAGAAAAGAGAGAAGAAGAAAAAGAGGAGAAGAAGAGAAGAAAAAGAGAGGAGAAAAUAGGGUUUGGGCCUCACACAAACCCGGCCCAACACCACAAUUAUUACCGAACUCCACCAAUUUAACACCCCAAAACAAAAUACCCUAUUAAAAAUUACCUUUUACUAGCUAAAAUUUACCAUUUUGACCGUCGUCACAUUUUUCUCUGAUGAAUAACCCUCCAAAAAUAAUCGUUCCCCAAAACCCCUCUAGGGACCAAUUAAACUAUAACUUCAUUGACGGAGACGGUAAAAUUCUUAUUAUAAUCAAGCUAGUAAAUAAGGUAAAAAUUUAAGGGUCGGGAUGUGACAAGACUGACUAAUAGAAGAUGAAGUUUGAUUGCCAACAGAUGAAGACUGAAAAGUCGCCAUGACAGUAGUCUGAAGUACAAAGAACACUGUAAAAUCUCACAGACUUUCUUUAAACAAUCUUCAAAGAACUCAUGCAGUGAAUCAGCACCAAAUCUAAUGAUCAAAGCAAAUAUUCUUCACACUGUGACACGACCCACCCCGAAUUUCACCCUGAAACCCAGAGUAAGUCGUGCGGGGACCACCUCCAAGGAAAAUUUACUGAAAAGAUUAAGAAAAUCUCCCUUGCAGAUGGACAACCCUAACUCGAAAAUUUCAUAUUACACUCUUAAUUUAACACAUAAUAUACAAAAAUUCUAAAGUAUCCAGAGCUACUAAACACAAGCGGAAGCAAGAAAACACGAGUAGGUUGAACAAGUAACCUACUGGCGAAAACUGGCAGAAAUGUGGGUGACUAUGCCUCGUCUCCUACUAGAUCCAACCCGAACUCUGCAGACUGGGCAAUUUAAAACGAAGGGCCCAGGGGAAAACAUUUAAUAACGUUAGAGUGAGUGGACAAAAAUAAAAUAAUAAAUAAAAUAUUUAUGUUUCCCCAAAUUAAUUUCUAAGGAAAAAUCGAAUGCAUGCCGCAAGCGAUAAAACUUUUAUCCCAUAAAAUAUCGAGCCUCUCAGACUCUAUAAUUUUACACACGUCCAUACUCCCUAUAUAAAUUCAUGGGUCUAUAUAGGGCUACUACGCUCGCGUCCAACGCUCACGUCACGCCUUAAUGCGGUGCUACACUACGCCAUCAAGGUGGACAGACGGGUGUAUAAAUAUGUGUCCAUACCCCCUAUAUGAAUUAAACACUCAAAUAGGGCUACUACGCUUACGUCCAACGCUCACGUCACACCAUAAUGCGGCUAUAUGCUACGCCAUUAAGGUGGACAGACACAUAUGGCUAGCUAGCAUUUUAUAUACAUACUCUCUCAUAAAUACAUAUUUAUAUCCACCGAAAAUCCCAUUUUCGGUAUCUCUCCACAAGAAAUAAAAAUCGUCAAAAAUUAAAAUGACGUCAAAAUACUCCACGACAUUAAUUAUUCAAUCGUGAACUUUAGCAUGCAUUUAUUUAAAAUAAACGUCCACUCACAAAUUAGGCCUAAGCCUGAUGUCGAUCUGGGGUCUCGUCUGCUCGAGCCUCCUCACGUCCUGUUCCAAAUAAAAUAUUAAUUUCCCAACCAAUAAUCCCAUAUUUAAUCAAAAUAGGCAAAAUUACCCGAGAGCCAUAAAUACGCUCAUCAUUGCCUAACUUCGAUAUUCUUAAAUCGGAACGAUCCGAACUUAAAUAUCAUACUCAACAGUCGUAAAUACAACCUCUCUAAAAUACGACUUAAAUCCUACGGCCGGAUUCUACAUUAAUUAACCGCCAAAAAUACCUAACUUCGGAAAUUCACAAACCGAACCAAAUCUCAUCCAAAAAUUCCAUAAAUCACACCAAUAUACUCCUCUUAAUAUUCCACAUUUUAAAACCCUAAAAAUCUCCUAACCGGCGGCGGCCGGCAGCCGUUUUCCGGCGACCUGCAAAUGCUACCAAAUUUUAACAGAAUCUUCCUCUCAAUCUCCUCUACAACUUUCAUGACUAACACAAACUCCAAUUCUAAGCCUAACCAUGUCGAUCGAACACAAACAACCAUAAAUCCUUAAAACUUUCAAUUAAACAAACCUCCCUAACGAAAUCGAAUUUAGCCGAANNN
This 51346-nucleotide long non-coding RNA is filed under the name Fragaria vesca (wild strawberry). RNAcentral's name for it is "long non-coding RNA (FVES_LNC002776)". The record is from RNAcentral. Lineage: Eukaryota; Viridiplantae; Streptophyta; Magnoliopsida; Rosales; Rosaceae.